UUGAUUGUUGUAGAGUAUGGCAUGGGAAGUGCGGUAUCUAUAGAAGGAGAUGUGUAUAGCUUUGGAGUCCUCAUUUUGGAGAUGUUCACAGGCAAGAGGCCAAUUGAUGACAUGUUUGAAAAUGGGUUGGACCUUCAUCGCUUCACAAAGGCAGCUUUGGCAGACCAAGUGGAGAAGGCAAUUGAUCCCAUUUUGCUUCAGGAAAUCGAGGAGUUGAAGAAGAGACGGACAAUUGCUCCAGGCAAGAACAAGAGCUGGUGUAGUAUCAAGGAUUGUUUGGUUUUGAUCAUCGAAGUAGGAAUCACAUGCUCUUUUGAGUCUUCGAAGGAGCGAAUGGACAUCUAUGAUGCAUUGACUAAACUCCAAGGAAUGAGGAAGAAACUUCUUGCGUUCAUUGUCACUGUCUAGUUGAUGUCAAAUUUGAACUUCAUAUGGAGUCAUGUGGUCUUCAUGGUCCUUGCUUUUUGGUUUUUCUUCCUUUGUAAUUUAACCAUUCUCUAGAUGUUACGUUUUGUCUUUCAACAAUUUGGUCUUCAUGGUGGGUAUGCACUACUUGUACCUAUAAUUUUAGUAAAUGUUAAUUUUGUUGCGUCAUGCGAACCAAUAAGCUAGGCUACCGAAACCCAGUACUUCAUUCUUUCUUUGGUUCUUGUUUGUGUGUGUGGCUGCUAUUAAUGGUGCCUUUGCCUUUGCAUAAACAAAAGUGGUACACCCUUAGUUGUUCGAUUGGCUUCCACCUGAAGUAUCCUUUGGUCAAAGAAGCUCUAAAAAAAAGCUGCUCCAGUGACUCAUGAUAAUACUGUCAUUAUAAACAAAGUAUCCAGGCUUGGGAGCCCCUCUGCAAGUUUCUUCUAUUGUGAUGAGGAUUCUUUCACAGCCAUGGAAGAAACCAAUUCUUUGCUGUUAAUUAUUGUGUAGCGCAUAAUGAAAUGGGCAGGAUGGUGACUGGCUCUAAUAAUCCCGUCGUGUUGUAUGCAAGUGGUGGAAACAUAUCAGUAAUUGCCUAUAGUGAGAGAAGGCAUCGGAUUUUGGAGACAAUGUGAUAUUGCUACUGCAAACUGCUUAGACAGAUUUGCUAGAAUCUUGACACUGUCCAACAAUUCGAGCCCUGGAUACGUCAUGGAGCAGGUAUGUCACCAGAAAUGCCCGUGAAGAUCUCUACUUUGUCCAUGUGCCCUUGACUUUGUCUUAAAACUGUUAUUAUUUGCACUUCACUUUAUUUUAACUAAUUGAUUUAUUUUUUAUCUUUCUAUAAGUAAAAAGGAGGAUGUAAGGAUCUCAACAUGAAAGUUGUGGGAAACGAGCAAUUUUUUUUUCACAAAUGUGAGAGCAAGAGGACAAACGCUAUCAAGAAAACCAGCCAACACAUUUUUCAUUGAUGUGCAAAUGUCGCUCUCUAUUUUGCUGUUGCCUCUUGCUAGAGUGAUGUGAACUGAUGAUGCCAAAUGCGGAUACGGAUUAAUGUUUGUCAAUUUCAGUACUAUGAUGUUUCAAUGAUGUGCAAACGUAGCUUUCUCUUGUAUUUAUUUCCCUUGGAGAAUAAUACGAAAAUGUUGUUUCAUAGAGUGUUUCGACCAAAAUGGUAACUAGUUUUAGCUUUGAUAGUUAAGAACUCUGUGUAUGUUCAUAGCAGAUGCAGAUGUUCAUCAUCAACUCAUCAUUAAACACUUGAAUUAAUUGAAUUUUAAUAUUCUCAUUACAAAAAGAGUCAACAACAGUUACAACUUUAAUAUGUGCUCAAAGCACGCACAACACUAUAAGAAAGAGAAGAUAACGGAUGAGUUUACAAUGUAGUUAGACCUCCCACUGAUCACGUGCAACCUACAACAACCAAUCAAAGUCCUGUCACAUCUUGCUACAUUAUUUAUUAUCCAUGAAAUUAACAAACAUCUAAUAGAAUCCUCUCUUUUCUCUUCGUUGAAGGUCAACUUCAAUCAUUUUUCACAAGAGGCCUAAAAUGAUUUGCUGGAAGUGAUUAUCACCAAUGGGGAAUCAAUCCAUUGGAACCAUCUGAGGGGUUUCUGUGAGUUCUCAAAAUGGGAUGAUGUCGGAAAGAAUUUGAAGAAAUUGCAAUUUCCUUACUACAAUAUUAAGAGAAAAGAGCAUUGUCAGUACACUUAGUAUUUCCACAUCAAGCGAUAAAAAACGGCAUAUAAAGGAGAACUAUAACAGUUAUAUCUAGAAAACGCGGCAAUAUUCAAUGAGCUAAAACCAACAUAGCAAAGAAGCUCAACCAGACUGCAAACCUAGAAAAUCUGAAAGGCCGUGAAUUGGAAAUGAGAGACUUGCUCCAAGGAUUGGAAGAACAUAGAAAAUUGCAAUGCUUAACUGAGCAGAACAUGCUUCUGUAAUUUGAUUCUGUUCGAACUAGUCAAAACACAUUUAUAACUUUCACAAUGCAAUGUUAGGAAGGUAAAGAACCCAUGCAUGCACACGAGCUAUAUGCUCGAUGCAUUGGAAACAUUUGGUGGACCGGUGAACCUGCUUGUUUGUCAUGAUUCUGAUCCAGCAGUUGAACACGCAUCAAUGUAUAUAUCUUAGGUGACAGGGUCGAGGUACAUUGGAGAACGAGCAAAAGGUACCAUAACUUCGUAUAAAACUUGCCUGUUUGUCCAGCAAAGUGUUGGAAGAUAUGCAGAAUCACGGAUUGCACAAUCAAGGAUCCGGAUUGAUUAUUGAUUUGAUUUGAAGAUUAGAAUUAUGUACAUAAUCAAUUAAGAUUAGAUCUAGCUAUAGAUUGAUUUGUAGAAUCAUUUAUUCCCUUUAUUUUUCAUACAGCUUGUAUUAUAUUUACAACAAGAAUUGUACAGAUUCAUCAUUGAAGUAAAUAGAAAGAAAACUGUUCCUUCUUCUUUCAUGGUAUCAGAGCAGCCGAUUCUCUGAACCUAGCUUCCGCUUCCGCUCAGAAUUUUCUCUCCUUGCUGUGACUUUCUGAUCCUGAAGUUCUGACCUGCAAAAAAGGGUUUCUUUUUCAGGCAUAUUGUCACGCUCAGAAAAUUUUACUCACCAUGGCGAAUUUGCAAGAUGAAGUAUCCACCACCAGGAACCAAUCUGCUGGUUAAGUUAUUCCAGCCGCUGGAAGCACUGCUCAGACAUCGAUUUCACCUGUUACAACUCAAACAACAACGCAAAUGUUGUUUCCAACUCAGCCCGUGCAAUGGCGGCCCACCCCGGCUCAGUUCACUAUGGGGCAGCCCAUGACGGGCCAGCCUUUCCAAUGGAUUCCAUAUCCAAUCUAUGUUGGGUCAAACCCAAACUCUUCAUUGCUUGGGUAUGUGGGCCACCAAAGCCACGUCCAAACCGACGGGGGUCCGCCAGCCACAGAAGGGGCAAACCCGACCGACGGAGUGGAGCGGAUACACAGGUCGAGUGAACCGGGUACGGGUAUGAAUCCCUACCCGGGAUUUUUGAAUGCGGAUUUUUCAUUCGGGUCGAAUGAAUCGGGCCAAGGGACGAAUCCCUACCCGAAUCAUACGCCCGGGUUUCUGCCCUUUCCAGCGGCGGCCUUCGCCAGACGGCCAGAACUCAGCGACCCCUUGUUCGUUUCCACAGCCGACGGACCAGAGCUGCGACUAAUCAGUCAACAACUGACCGGGCCAGAGACUUACCCCAAGUGGUCGCAAGAGUUCCGACGUGCCCUAGCGACAAAGGACAAGGAUGGAUUUCUCGAUGGAACCAUCCCAAUCCCUACCGACGAGCGUCUAGCACGGCUCUGGAGGAAGAGCAACCGCCUGGUCCGAACUUGGAUCGGCAAUUGUCUCUCCACAGAGGUCUCGGCUGGACUCCCACCGACUGAAGACGCCAAAGGGAUGUGGGAUAAUAUCAAGGAGAUGUACGGGAGGUUGGAUCAAGCAAAAAUAUUCACCCUCAUGCAAGAACUCAGUGAUUUAAAACAAGGGAAUUCGACGGUCACAGCUUGCUUCAACAAAUUAUCAUCGUUAUGGAACAGCCUCGAAGCAGCAGAAGAAAAACUCGAGGGUCCCGAAUCCACACUCCGACAGUACAAAUCCAUCAAAGACAGGGAGAAAGCGACGCGUUUUUUGCUCAUUUUAAACGACAACUUUCUUACCUUUCGCUCGUAGAUCUUGGCUAUGGAUCCCAUGCCAUCAAUCGGGCGAAUUUAUCAACUAGCGGUGCAAGAGGAAAGCCAGCAAUUCGCAUCACCAAAGAACGCGAAGAGUGGCGAGAGUAUCGCUCUUGCAGUCCACAAGGAGCGAAAAGAUGGAACCCAGAAAACCCUAGCAGAGAAGAGACGUGGCGUGCUAGGGUUUCGCGGAGAAGGGUUGCGGGCCUAUAAAUCAGAAGGGAUGAACGGCUCUGAUCGAGCGCGUAUAUCCGACGGCUCACAGGAGACCGAUCAUUUAAAAGGAUCGGACGGCCCAGAUGAACUCGCGACAAAAGGAACCGACGGACAGAUUUUUGCCACAUCAUCCAGGAAUUUCGGGCAAAAUUUUAAAGGGAAAGGUAGAUUAUUUUGUGACUAUUGCAAGCGUUCUAAUCACUCAAUUGACAGUUGUUGGAAGCUGCACGGGAAACCAGCGGAAAAAGGAAAAAGAAUUUCAGCGGCAUACCAAUUGAGUGGAUCUCCCGGCCCAAAUUCUGAUCAUACCAUUACCUAUGGACAGUACCAGCAACUGAUGCAAGCUUUGCAGAAAUUGGAUGUUUCUGACAAAGGAGGCAGUUUUUCAAGUAUCACGCAUGGCUUGAUUAAUUCUAUAUCAAGAAAAGCAUGGAUUAUUGACUCAGGGGCAACUGAUCAUAUUAUAUGUGACAAGAGUCUUUUCUCAAGAAUAGAUGAGGAAUUGAAUUUUCCCAUUUCCGUACAAUUGCCUAAUGGGAAUAUUAGUCAUAUUCGUGUGACAAGAACGGUUAAUCUCAGUCCUCAAAUUAUUCUUAAAAAUGUCCUUUAUGUCCCAGAAUUCCAGUUCAAUCUCAUUUCCGUAUCAAAAGUCUGCCAAGAGAAUUCAUGUCGAGUGAUAUUCAAUGCUGAUACCUGUUUAUUUCAGGCCCUUUCAACUGGCAGACUGAUGGGCUGGGGUAAUAUUUCAGAAGGACUAUUUUUUUGGUCAAGACUCCCAAGUAAUUUUGAUUUAUCCAGCUUUCCAUUAAAUAAAUCCUCCUUGUGUAAUUUGAGCUUGAAUGAUAAAAGUUCUCUUAUGCAUAUGAGAUUAGGCCACAGUGCCACCUUUCCUUAUCCUAAAUGUCCUAUUUGUCCACUAGCAAAACAGUCUCGUUCCCCUUUUCCAUCUAGUAAUUCUCGUGCUAGACAAAUCUUUUCACUGAUACAUGUUGAUAUAUGGGGACCUUAUCAUAAGGUUAAUUAUGAUGGAUCACGUUAUUUCCUCACAAUAGUAGACGAUCAUUCUCGUGCGACAUGGAUUUUCUUGAUGCAAUCAAAGGCUCAGACUUACUCUUAUUUAAAGACAUUUAUUGCCUUAUCCAAAAAUCAGUUUGGAAAAUCAAUCCAGAGAAUUCGAACUGAUAAUGGAGCGGAAUUUUUCAGUCACAAUUGUUCCAUGCUUUUCUCAUCUCAUGGCAUCCAGCAUGAGAGUUCAUGCACUUAUACACCACAACAAAAUGGAGUGGUUGAGCGCAAGCAUCGGCACCUUUUGGAAGUCGCACGUGCCUUGAAGUUUCAAGCUUCAGUACCAGAUGAUUAUUGGGGAAAUUGUGUCAUCACAGCAGCUUAUUUGAUCAAUCAUAUGCCCACCAAGAUACUGGACAAACACCAUUCGAGCUACUCUAUGGAAGAAAACCAGAUUUACAACAUCUCAAAAUCUUCGGAUGUCUUUGCUAUGCUACAACAUUGGGCUCUCGAGACAAGUUGAGCCCACGUGCUCGGAAAUGCAUUUUCAUGGGAUAUCCUAAUCUGCAGAAGGGGUAUCGAGUUCUUGAUAUAUCAACAAAGGAGUUUCUUAUAAGCCGUGAUGUAUCUUUCCAUGAAGAUAUAUUCCCCUUUUCCAACAUGGGGGAACCAAAUGAGAAUCUCGACAUCAAUUCUAAUUCUCAUCGUCUCUCACAUGACGACGCAAUAUCUCCAGACCAUGGUUACAUACCACUGGUUCAAUCAAGGAAUCCAUCUUACACUCCUACAAUAAUUCCAGGAGAGAUACCAUCUAUACUGGAGAAUCCAUCAUCAUCAGCAAACCUGACAGAAGAGGAAGUUGAAGAUGCAAGCAAUAUUGCGGAAGAAGUUGGCCAUGAUAUCUCGCCACCCACCUCCAAUGAAACAAUUCCCACUUCUGAUGGAGAUCAUCCAAGACGCUCUCGUCGGGCCACUCGACCUCCGACGUGGACCAAGGACUAUAUCUGUGCCACUCACAACUCUCCAGGUAUUCAAUAUCCUGUCUCCUCCUAUGUUUCCUUUCAUAGAUUAUCAGAGGAACAUAGAUGCUGCAUUAGUCGCCUAUCAGAAGAACAGGAACCAUCUAGUUAUGAUAAGGUAGCUGUUGAUCCUAGAUGGUAGCAAGCCAUGGCAGCAGAGUUAAAGGCAUUGAAUGACAACCACACAUGGGAUCUUGUCUCAUUGCCACCUAAUCGGAAACCAAUUGGGUGCAAAUGGGUAUACAAGAUUAAAUAUCGUGCAGAUGGAUCAAUUGAACGGUACAAGGCACGCUUGGUAGCAAAGGGAUUUACUCAGCGAGAAGGUUUUGACUACCACGAGACCUUUUCCCCAGUUGCCAAAGAUGUCACAGUUCGCUCUUUUUUUACCAUCGCCGCCAUCAAUGAUUGGAGUCUGCAUCAAAUGGACGUGCAUAAUGCCUUUCUCCAUGGUGAUUUAGAUGAAGAGAUAUAUAUGGAUGUUCCUCUGGGUUUACGGAGACAGGGGGAGAAUAGAGUGUGUCGUCUCCGCAAAUCCCUUUAUGGGUUGAAGCAAGCAUCCAGACAAUGGUAUGCAAAAUUUGCAAAUGCUCUUACGAAAGCUGGGUUCCAACAAUCAAAGCAUGACUAUGCAUUGUUCACAAGGAACAGAGGUAUGUCAUCUAUCUUUUUGAUGAUAUAUGUCGAUGAUAUUCUUCUUAUGGGAAAUGAUAAGGCUGCCAUAGAAAGAUUCAAGGAAUAUUUGCAUGCUACCUUUCAUAUGAAGGACUUAGGAGCACCUAAAUAUUUCCUUGGAAUCGAAAUUGCUCGAUCCGAUUUAGGAAUCUCCCUCAGUCAACGAAAGUUCAUAUUGGAGAUUAUAUCAGAAGCAGGGCUAUCAGGAUGUAAACCAGCAGCAAUUCCCAUCGAGCAGAACACUAAAUUGACUUCUGCAGCUUACGAUGAAGGUAUAUCCAAAGAUGACGAUCCCAUACUCAAAGAUCCAUCUGGAUAUCAAAGGCUUGUUGGGAAACUUAUAUAUCUGACAAUGACGAGGCCGGACAUCUCUUAUGCAGUACAAACAUUGAGCCAGUUCAUGCAUAGCCCAAAACAGUCUCAUUUCGAUGCAGCUUUGAAGAUUGUAAAAUAUUUAAAGAAAUGUCCAGGACUUGGGAUACUUCUGUCAAAGAAAUGUGACAUGAAGAUGACGGCAUUUUGUGAUGCAGACUAUGCAACAUGUCCUAUAAGUCGAAGAUCAGUCACAGGAUAUUGCAUUAAAUUUGGGGAAUCACUUCUUUCAUGGAAGACCAAGAAGCAACCCACUGUGUCUUUAUCCUCAGCUGAGGCAGAGUAUCGAGCUAUGGCUAAGACCACAUGUCAAAUAGUGUGGAUGUGAGGUUUACUUAAGGAUCUUGGGAUAGAAGUGCAAGGACCAACCAGGCUUUAUUGUGAUAACGAUGCAGCCCUAAAACUUGCAGCAAAUCCUAUAGUACAUGAGAGAACCAAGCACAUUGAAGUCGACUGUCACUUCACUCGAGAAAAGAUACAAGAAGGCGUGAUUGAGACAAGAGGAAUUGGAACAAUGGAGCAGCCAGCAGAUAUAUUUACCAAGCCUCUAUGUCAAAGACAGCACGCAUAUCUGUUGAGCAAGCUAGGUGUCUUAGACAUAUACAGAUCACCAGCUUGAGGGGGAGUGUUGGAAGAUAUGCAGAAUCACGGAUUGCACAAUCAAGGAUCCGGAUUGAUUAUUGAUUUGAUUUGAAGAUUAGAAUUAUGUACAUAAUCAAUUAAGAUUAGAUCUAGCUAUAGAUUGAUUUGUAGAAUCAUUUAUUCCCUUUAUUUUUCAUACAGCUUGUAUUAUAUUUACAACAAGAAUUGUACAGAUUCAUCAUUGAAGUGAAUAGAAAGAAAACUGUUCCUUCUUCUUUCACAAAGGCCCAUUUAUGUUCGCUACUCUAUGACGCUGCAUGUUCAAAGCAAGCGCAAGCAUCAGAACGCUGAACAAACGCUCUGUUUGUCCAGCAAAGGCCGAGUAGAAACUUCUACACCAAACCACUCACUUCCUUGCACUAUCUCAUUCCAAAACACAUCACCAAAACUCCCAUGGGCAUAUCAUUUCACCAAUUUCCCAGCAAAGCAGCCGACGCGUAAACCCUAGAAAACUCAAUCGCAACAGGAAACACCAUUUCCGUGACACUGCAUGAUCAAAGCGACCGCGUGACCGAGCAUCAGAGUGCUGGACAACGCUCUGUUUGUCUAGCAAAGGCCGAGUAGAAACUUCUACUCCAAACCACAUAUCGUCUCCCUGAGUUACUGGCAAAGCAACCGACGCGUGAAUCCUUGAGACCUCAAUCGCAACCAGAAAGGCCAUUUUCCGUUCGCUAAAUCCGUGACGCUGCAUGUUCAAAGCAAGCGCGCGAUCAAGCAUCAAGAUGCCGAACAAACACUCUGUUUGUCUACUACACCGAACCGAUUGCUUCGUUGCACGAUCUCAUUAAAAAAAAAAAAAAGGAAGAAGAAGAACGUAAUCGUCUCUCGAAACGAUGAACUCGCGAGGAAGAUGACGACGGAGUCGACCCGUCGAAGAGAUGAUAAAAGGAAAGGAAAAGGCGCGAGAGCGACGUGAGAGCUGACCUUCGACGGCUCCUUCACGUAGAGAUAGGCGGCGAAGGAAGCCAGCAGGAUCAGCACCGGCAGGAUCCGCCAUUGCAGAUGCUUCAUUCCUCCCUCCCUCUCUCUCUAGAAUCUCGAUGACGCAGAAAGGAGAGAGAGCGCUUCGCAGAAAUUUGCGCUCCCUCACGAGUCGCGAAGCGCCUUCAGAGUCAGCUCCCUCUUGUCGUUUUUUCUUCCCUCUCUCCUUAAUAUUUUGAUUUUUCGGUGUAAAGAUUAUUUACUUACCGACCAAUGGAACUCUGACACGUGUAGGAUUCCUCGAAGCAAUUUAAUAAAAGUUUUUUUAAUUGAUAAGGGGGAAAGAAUAUUUGUUUUUCUUGGCACGACCAAACACUUCGAUUUUUCCAGCGAUGUCUUUAGUGGAGCGUGCGUGCAUGCGUGUAAGCCCACUUGUCUCCCAUUGGCGAAAUUUUUGUUAUGUACACGAUAUCAUUUUAUAUUAUAACUAAUGCGAUGUUAUGUAUUUUUCUAUGUUCAAUUCCAUUUUAAUCUGGAAAAUGUCAAGUGUUAAUCGACAUUAAAUUAUUAACCAAGGCUUUUUUGUGGAGUAGUUUAUGACAUAGGUGGAAAACGAGUAUUAUAAAUGUAGGUAGAUAUCGAUGGCUGGGCAUGACGAACGAAUGAAUAAAAUCUAAUUUUGGCUAGAGAAAGUUCGAGAUGCUCUAAUGGCUUUGGUUUUCAAUAUAUAAUACAAAUAGAAAUAUAAUUUAAUAGGUCGAAAUUCAUAAUUGAUUCCUCAAAUCUAUGCACCAAAACGAACCCUUGCUAAGUUCUAUAAUAGCUAGAUUGGUCUAACAACAAAAAGUAGUUUUUAUAUUUUGUUUUCAGAUUAAUGUCUCGAGUGAUGAUAAUAUGACAAUUUAAAUUUGGAGACAAUAUUAAGUAUUUUAAUAUAAUUCAUAGACUAAAUUGAACAUAUAUUAAAAAUCUAGGGACCUCGUUGUACAUUAAAUUAGAAUUUAGGGACCAUAUGAAAUAAAUUUAAAGUUAAUGGAUGAAUUAUGCAAUUUUAUCUAACAAAGGUAGUUUUGAAGAGGGGAGUACAGGGAUUUUAACCGCAGCGGUUUUCUUCAUCCGUGAAAACCGUCUGGAGCGUCGGUUAUCGUAGAUAUUGCCUUCCAUCACGGCGUCUCAAGUUAACCGCAGCGGUUUUCUUCUUCGGAGGCGCCGUUUUUUAGAGAGAGAAACGGAUACCAUACGCAGAGUCAAAAAUCAAUCCGUUUCUCCCCUGGCCGAGAAGUCUGAUUGAUCCCGGUCUCCAUUGAAGCUUCGCCACCCGGCCCAUAACUUCGUCGGCGACGAGUUUCCGUGGCUGUCUCGGGUUUCGCUUGAUCAUCAAUCGUGAUUAGAACUCCGUUUCAUUGAGGCGUUUCUUGGUCAUCGGCAGUGCUGGUCUGUCUGUGAGAAGUGGCUCGGAGUUUGUGUAACGCUUCGACAAUGAUGACCGGGGAGGUGAGCUUUUCUCAAUCUUUUUCUCCUUUUAUAUUUUCAUCGUGCUGUUCAUGUGUUGAAUUAUUAUCUGUGAUGCUGUGUGUUCCAAGAUCAAACGAUCGGUGGCGGUCGAUGGCGGUGUUGUAGUAAUGGAUGGUGUUCGGAGGCGACGUCCAUGGCAGCAAUGGCCAGAAGUAGUGAAUAGCGGUGCAUUCCAAGCUCUGUUGCUCCUCUCGUCACAUUCAGCGGACGCCGCAGCGGCGGAAUCCACGGCGUGUUUUUUUCUUUUUUCUGGUAAGAUUUGAAUUGUGUGUUUUAAAUGAUCUCUUAUGUGGGGUCAAAGAAUGGCAGGAGAAAUGGCUUUCCUCAUUUUUUUGGUAAGAUUUGAACUGUGUUUUUUUUCUUUUUUCUGCUCUAACAUGGAACAACCACGAGUACCUGCCGCCAGUCAUCUGCUUGUUGCGGUAGAAUGAGGUUUGGCUAUCAUUUGGGAAUAUCAGUGCUGCGUAAAACGUGCCCUUUAUCACAGAUUUUCUGUGUCAAUUACUCCAUCUACUAGUUUAAAGUAUGAACUUCUAUAUCUCUUUGGCUUGUCACAGGUACAUAUCAACAGUUGGGUUUUACUCGCUUAAGAUGCACUUCCUUGUUAGAAGGAAAAAAUGACCAAAGGUUACGUAACAAGGAAGCUGUUGGGCAUGACUAUAAAAGGUUUUCUUUUAAAAAUUGAAAUGGCCACUUUAGUAAUCUUUAUUUAGUAUGGAGAAUCUCAGUCACGAUUAUAAUCAAAUAGUUAGAGUUGUCGCCAAUAAAGAAAUGUUGCCAGCCUUGAGUUGCUACAUCAGUCCAACAUGGUGCUUGCAAUAACUAUACCUUUUUUGUGUCAUCAUCAUUGGUCAGCCUUGUCAUUGGUCAGCCUUGCCUUCAUGAAUCUUUGUUGCUCAUUGAGAUUAGUCCGGAAAUUGUUACUUCAACCGAGCUCAACAAGGAGUUGGAAUCUCUAUUGCCCAUUGAGAUUUGGUGUACUUAUUUUAGCGUGGAAAUUUGGCAGUCACAAUGCAUGACAAGAGAGGACAAUCAAAUAAAACUUCAUAGUUCUGACUAAACUUAUGCAUUAUAUUGAUUUAUCAAUUUCAAACCUUGAGAACCUAGCUAGGGAAAAAGGGGCAAAUUAUGAAGGGUAAAAUAUGUUGCUUUUCCUAGCCUUUCUUGUGGAAAAACCAUAUUCGUGGCAAUGGAGACUGAAUUGUGAUCUCUGAUUUGACUGAACAAUAUAAUUUGAUAGCUAGUUUUAGACUCUAAAAGUCCUCAUUACUUAUUCUUGCUGAACGCUUGGAUGUAGGUUGCUGGUUGGAUUUGAAUGAAAAAUCUCUUGUUGUAGUUUUAGAGGCUAGUCGUAUUGCUUUUUAAAUGGAUCAGAGUCAAUACUCCAUGUUCAUUGGCAGAACUCACCAAGUUUUGGAUUGGUGCUCCUAUCUACAAAAUGGUUUUGUGUCAUCUAUUAAAAAAUUGUAGACUCUUUCAAUAGAACAGUUGAUAGAACAAAUCUAGUAAGGAAAAUGUAGGGGAAGUUGUGUUUCCCAUUAUGAGCUAGUGUCUAGUUUAGUGAGUGUGGGCAAUAACUGCUCUAGCAUUGUAUUUAGUUUGUAUGCUUCGGAUCAAUUAACUUUAGAAACCUAAGGUUCUCAUUUUUUGGAACAUGAGAUGCAUCUGUGCUGAAAUUUCAUUUGGUAUAUUUACGUGGCCAUGUUCAUCUCCUCGUUCCCGUCCCAUGGCUCUACUCAAACUGAGAGGCUUACAGGGAGAGUUUAGAUAGAGAAGGCGAGUGUUGAUGGAGUCAACCAUAUCAAAGACUCUCUAUCCUCAUCUUCGUCCUCCCUCAACCCCUUCGUCUUCCGCCUCUACCGCUACAUCACCCGAUCGCUGCAUCGCUGAUGCGAGUGGGUGUCUGGCACCUAUGAUUGCAUCACCUUCGGCAUAACCCCUAGAGGAUUGAGUGAAGCUUGAUAUGAGUUUGUGCCAGCAAAGUGACUAUAANNNNNNNNNNNNNNNNNNNNNNNNNNNNNNNNNNNNNNNNNNNNNNNNNNNNNNNNNNNNNNNNNNNNNNNNNNNNNNNNNNNNNNNNNNNNNNNNNNNNCAGCGAGCGUGAAAGAGAAUUUGAGAAAAUCAAUUGAGUUUGCCAUUGCUUUUGUUUUGCUAUUAUACUCUCUAAGGUACCUGGGAUCAUCCAUUUUUCAUAAUAAAAAAAAUGGUCAUCAACUUAAAUUAAACUUAGUGUGACGGAACAGUCAUCCCCCGUGUUACGCAUUUUGUCCUCUCGUAAAUGUGAAGAGAAAUAAGGUUCUAAAUGAUCUCUUAUGUUGGGUGAAAGAAUGGCAGGAGAAAUGACUUUCCUCUUCUUCUUUUUUUCCCGGUAAGAUUUGAACCCUGCGUGUUUUUUUCUACUUUCUGCUCUAACAUUGAACAGUCACAAAUACCUGCCGCCAGUGUCAAUCUUACAGCCGAGACAGCAGUUAUAUGGCCUCUAUUUGAAGCCGAGGCUGUACAUAAUUAGCAAAAAGAGUUGGGAGAAACAGUUGCAAAACACUUGACAAAUUGUGGCUUUAUAUCUAACCCUCGAGGUAAGCAAUUUUUAUUCACUAUAUGCUUGUUGCAGGAGAAUGAGGUUUGGCUGUCAUUUGGGAAUAUCAUUGCUGCAUAUAACGUUCUUUUUAUCACAGAUUUUCUAUGUCGAUUACUCCAUCUAUUAGGUUGAAGAAUGAGCUUUUAUAUCUCUUUGGCCUAUCACAGAUACAUAUCAAGAGUUGGGUUUUACUCGCUUAAGAUGCACUUCCUUGUUAGAAGAAAAAAAAGGCCAAAGGUUAUGUAACAAGGAAAUCUGUUGGGCACGACUACAAAAGGUUUUCGUUUGAAAUAUUGAACUGGCAGGAAUCUUUCUUGAGUAUGGAGAAUCUCAGUCACGUUUGUAAUCAAACAGUUAGAGUUGUCGCCAGUAUAGAAAUGUUGCCAGCCCUUGAGUUGCUACAUUAGUCCAACAUGGUGGUUGCAAUAACUAUACUCUUUUUUUUUUUUUAUGUCAUUGUCAUUGGUCACCCUUGACUUCAUGAAUCUUUGCUGCUCAUUGAGAGUAGUCCAGAAAUUCUUACCUCAACCGAUCUCAGCAUGGAGUUGAAAUCUCUGUUGCUCAUUGAGAUUUUGGGGUUUAACAAGCCACACAAUGUGGAAAUACCGUACUUAUUUUAGUGUUGAAAUUUGGCAGUCAUAAUGCAUGACAGGAGAGGACAACCAAAUAAAACUUCAUAGUUCUGACUAAACUUAUGCGGCAUAUUGACUUGUGGUUUGAAACCCUGAGAACCUAGCUAGGGAAAAAGGGGCAAACUAUGAAGGAUAAAACAUGUUGCUUUUGGUAGCUUUUCUUGUGGAAAAACCAUAUUUGUGGCAAUGGAGACUGAAUUGUGGUUCCUGAUUUGACUGAAACAAUUUAAUUUGAUAAGUAGUUUUAGACUCUAAGAAUCCUCAUUUCUUAUUCUUUCCAAAUGCUUAGGUUCAGAUUGAUGGUUGGAUUCGAAUGAAAAAUCUCUUAUUGUACUUUUAGGGGCUAGUCAUAUUGCUUUUAGAAUGGAUCAGAGUCGAUAUUGGCUGAACUUGCCAAGUUUGGAAUGUUGCUCUUAUCUACAAAAUGCUUUUGUGUCAUCAAUUAAAAAAUUGUAGACUCUUUUAAUAGAACAGUUGAUAGAACACAUCUAGUGAAAAAAAGGGUCAAUUAACUCUAGAAACCUAAGGUUCUCAUUUUUUUGGAACAUGAGAUGCAUCUUUGCGAAAUUUGAUUUGGUAUAGUUUUUAUCCUUGAUAUGAGUAUGUGGUGAUGAAAUAAGCAUAUUUAAUAUUACAUAGCGUAAUUGCAAAAACUAUCCUCAAUUUUGCUUUUCAUAUCAAAUACCCUCCUCACAUUUCAAAAUCUAUAUAGUGCAUCUCCCAACCUAAAUUAACUAUUUGCCCUUAUGCGCGCAUGAGAUCUACACCUAGAAAGUGGAAUGCAACAUUGAGGAUGGGGUAAUUUGAGAAAUAUGUGUGGGUGCGAGAUGCAACCUGAAAUCCACAACCAAAAAAAUAAAAUAAAAUGGAGAGUGAUGAUUGGAUGUCUGAAAUAUGAGAAUAGCGCGUUUGAUAUGAGUAGCAAAGUCUAGGAUGAUAUCUGUAAUUUUCCAUGUCAUAUAAUACAAACUAACUCCAGGAUGAAUAUUUCUAAAGCAGGUGGUGGUUGAAAAGUUCUCUGCCUCGAGGUUCAGGUAGUGACCAACAUGGUGAUUGCAGUCGUGACUGUGGUCGUGAUCGUGGCCCUAAUCAGGCCUGUGGUGGUGGAUGUGGAGGUGGAGAUGGAGAGUGCUUGCGGAAAGCCUGGGCAUUCUACAAGCGAGUGUCCUAGUGAAAGGGCAGAGGAGGUAGUUAUGCGGGGAGCAAUGACAGGUAUGGAGGUGGAGGUGGUGGACACUAUGGUCCUCAUCGAAAUGGUGGUUGACCUGGCGGGUGCAAUAGAGAUAGUGGUACUCAAGGAGGAUCAUGAAAUGACUGCUAUAAUUAGGACCGUUCUGGUCCCUAUGGAUGUCGUCGUACAGGAAACUUCUGUUCAGGGUAGAAAGAAUUCUCCUGAUAGGUAUGCACAGAGGUUUUUCCUAUUAUAGUGAAGUAGUUGAUCCUGUGCUGAUUGAAAAGUGCUUGCAACAGAGCAAUUGAAGAUACUGCUGUUACUUGCUGGAGGUGUCAAAGUCUCUUCUGUUUCAUCUCUUCUUCAUGGUUCUCCAGGUGGACAAAUCUGCUUGAUCCAACUGUUGAUGUGCGAUCUUUGGCUAAAAGAUUCAACUGUUUAAUGUCUGUGAAUGCUCGUUUUGAUGUUUUGGAUCCAAUGACAUUGCUUGCUUUACUUAAACAAUCAAAUUUGGCCUUACUAUUUCAAUGCUAUGAUGAAUACUGGAUUCUCUUUUGCUCACAUGCUUUAGCAAUUGCAAAUGCAUCUGAGAUCGAUCUUGGUUGACUUCAUCAUUGGCGUUUGUGACUAUGGAGUGUGGACAGCUUUUUGGUGUCUAGAUGGCUCUUUUGAGGAUUGGACGAGAUUCACCUAAGGAAGUAAUGCGUUUUCUCUUCACAAAAGAGAAGUUGCCUUAGAAAUGAAUGCCUGUUUUGGCUACGAUUUUUCAAAUGUUUAACUUUUUGAAAAGGAGUUAAGCGGGUAAACUCUAUGUUUUCUUCGACACAUUUAGUAUGUGAGCUUUCUGUCUAUAGUUUGCACUAUAUUAACUCUGCUAAACUUUUGGCAGGAUUCUAUGCUGUUUGUGGUGUUUUGAUGCGCAGUUCCGUUACUCUUAUAUCAUGAUACGUGGGUUUAGUCUUAAAAACUCUGGAAAGUCCUUUUGGUCUCAAGAAGCUGUUCUGUGCAAUUAACUCGGUAAAUUUCGUCUCACCUUCCACACAUUGUACUGAUGGAGGAGUUCCUUUCUCAGUAAAAUGUGGAGAUCUUUUGGAAGCUUUAGUGAGCAUGGCAAUUUGAUUUUCACGAUCUUCUUCCUAGCUAUCUGCUGUCUCUUAUUGCCAUCUUCAGUGGAGGAUUGCUGGUCUCUGUCUCACCCGUGUACAUGAUGCUGCUAUUGUCUUAGGUUUCCUGGAUAAAUUUCCCUUUCAGGUGUAAUGCGGCUCUUCCUAUGAAUCAGCUAUGUUGCUAAUAAACACACGGUUCUUUUCACUUCUGCAUUAAUGAUCUUUGCCAUGCUCUUGCAGCCAGUCAUUUGCAAUUGAUAAUGUGUCUUCCCUGAAUUCUUUCAGAAGUUGUGCUAGCUCCAUUUGAAAUUGAUAUUGGCUUUGUGACUCCUAGAUGUGGUAUAUUCUCGCCACAAGCAAAAAAAGCGGAUAUGAUCAUUUCCUUUUCAGCUCUCUCUGUGUAAUUACUUGGUUAAGGUUAUUGGGCAUUCUUAACUAUGGCUUUGUAAGUGAAUAUUUUCUUUUCCCGUUAUGCUUGUCAACAAAUUUGGAGGUUAAGGUUAUUGGGCAUUCUUAACUAUGGCUUUGUAAGUGAAUAUUUUCUUUUCCCAUUAUGCUUGUCAACAAAUUUGGAGAUCAAAUUGGCAAUACGUGCUCAGCAGGAAAGAGUUAUCUAUUCUUGUUUAAAAUUGAAAGGAAUUUUACCGAAGUACUGGUUAAUUCUCAAGUAGAGCUUAAUAGUACAUUGUAUCAAUUUUCUGUUAAUCUUUGCGACUUCCUUUAUAUACUUAUUUCUUUAAUGUCAGAGCUAGUCACAUACUUAAGUUAAUCCCUAUCUUAAAUAGAUUUUUCAUAAUUCCAAAAUCAUUUCAGAAUCCAAAAGAAAAGAAAGGAAGCUGAAACAGGAAACCAAAAGGACCACAAUCAAACAAUUCAAUGAUCUUAAUCAUCAAUAUACAAAGUACACUGGGAGGAGGCCGGGGGUUUGCAUCCAGAGCAUUGAAUUGGACGGUGAAGCUCUUGAAGGUUUGAGAAAAGACCACGCUGUGUGGAUGGCUGAAAUGCUUGUGUGACUUCAUCUCUGUAUUAGGCUGCGCGCGUGCUUAUGUGUGUGAAAGAGCGAAGGGAGGGAGGAAGGUUGGCUUUUGUCUUAACUAGGAACUGCUCGUGUAUGUAGGAAACAGCGAAGGUUCAAGAAUCAAUGUUUAAAAUAUGCGAUUGGCAUAAUAUAUUGUAUUAACUCUAUAUAACAACUUUUUUUAAGAAAUGUAAUCAUUUUUCUUCUUUUGCGCUUUAAGGGGAAGUACAUUGAACAUGGCUAUAUGCGAAAGAAGAAAGACUGAUGCAACCCAUUGAAUACAGCUUCCUACAUAAAUGAAGUCAUCUUGGAAAUCAUGCGGAUCUCCCCGUCUCUCUCUCUUCUUUCGAGUUCAUGCUUGUGGAUGUUAUUGGCAAAGUAGUGUGAUCUCAAUCUAGCCCCGUGAUUCAAACUUGUUUCACGAUAUGUCCUUAUUUGAAGGGUAAGUUCACUUUGUGACAUCCUGGAUUUUACAGUUCUGCUUUCAAUUAAAUCAAUUGGAUUUUUCAUCGAUGCGCCUAUAGUGUUAUUCUCAGAGUUGAUCACUCGUAAGAUAACUAGACUAUCUAGGGAAGUCAUUAAGGGAUUUUAAUGUAUUAGACUUAAGGAUUCAACCAGGACUUGACUACUCGAUCAUGCUCAUCUGCAAAGAUCAUUACGGCAUAGUUAAAAAUUGCUUAGAGAACAGAGAUAGGUCGGUCCAACUGAGAUGUGUGACUAAACAUGGGUAAUUCUACUAAAUUGCAAAAUUCUCGUCGAUCGGCACUAGACUGAUUUUUUUGUCUUUUUGGUACCAUGUGUCUGUAUUUGAAUCAUCGAGAUUUUCAUAAGAAUCGAGAGUCACCACUGUGUCGAAUAGGUUCAUUGUGGCUCGAAGAAAAUCGACCAUAGGUUAUUUGCACUAAAAAUUUCUGAAAGCUACUCGGUAGCCUAGGUCACGCUAAAAACACGCCAAAGUGAAAUUAACCAUGAAUUUGAAUCCAAUUUCAGAAAUUGAAAAUUCUGUCAUGUCACAAGUCAUUUUAGGAACGUCGACUCAGUCUCCGAAGAUUUUUUUGCAAACCGAGACUUUUUGGGAAAAAGUCGUCGUAGGGCCAUUUUUAUUUAGAAAAGUCCGAGGGCCGUUUUUGAUUGGGAAAUUGGGAUGCAAGAUGGUUCAAUUGGUGAGGAAAAAUAUCAAUUUGAUUAUUGACCCGAUAACGAAAUUUUUAGAGGCCGAAUUGAAUUGAUUCAAUGAGGAUUCGGGGUCAAAUUGGAAGGAAAACCUUGCAAAUUCGUGUGCCCCCAUGACCCAUGACUUUUGGACCCUUUCCUUGGCUUCUUGUGGAAGAUUGUGGGUUGAAGUUUGCAGAGGAAGCCAACUGUGGGGUGAGGGACUGAUCAAGGGGACAAAAGAAGUGUAGAGACCAAGCUUGUUCCCCCCUUGUACCCUCUUUCCCUCUCUCUCCCGUCAACUGCUUCCGCCUCCUUUCUUCUUUCUGUUCAACGCCCAAAAACUGCAGAGAAGAACCAACUCAGCCUUCUCACCAUCGCAGCCAAUCGCCGGACCACCGUUCACUCCACCGCUUCGCUACUCGCUGUUCGGCGUGCUCGCCAACCCGUCGCAACCUCAUCGCCGUCUAGUCGCGUCGUCUCCGCCUGUCCUCGCCUUCAGCAAGCUGCCAAGGACGCCUGAGCCACCGUCAAAGCCCAUCAAAGCUCCCAUCACCACCGCCUAGACCCGGUUUGGUCCCCUCUACCCAUCUCAGCUCGUUGUCGCCUCAACCAGCCCCCGUUCUGCCUUCUCUCAGCCUAGACCAAAUCAGAACCCAGUGGGUUUUCAGCCAAGGUUUUGGCCCGCUUUGGCCAUUUCCAAACCCCGAAAGGCAAGCCCACUUUAGAGAAGAUCGAGCCUCGCCUCGUCCCCAUCGAUUUGAUCCAAGCGGAUCAAUUAACAAGUGAGUUUAACUCACUAAUUUUCGCUUAGUAGGUUAAUGAUAUUUAAGGGUUGAUUAGUUUAGGUUAAGCAUGGAUUAGGUGGUUAGUUAGUUUAGAUUAGCGGUUUAAAUAUCCGUUAAUCAUGUUAGGUGGUUAGAGUAGUGUAGUUAGAGCCUAGACAAGCUCUAGUAUUUAUCUAGAGUAGUUCGGAAAUUUUCCAGGCUUGUCUCGGCUUCCAAUUAGGCUUUUUCAGGCCUAAGUUGCAUUUUUGGCAUUUAUUUAUUAUUUUCCGUAAUUAUUUAAUUAUUUAUUUAUUUUCCAUAAAUUAGACUGAGAUAGCCGGUGACCGGAAUUUCGUGCUGAUUGCAGUAGUGUGAUCUAUUUAUUUAAUUGAGUUCUAAUUUAUGCUGAUUGAGGGUGAUUUGUGGUUGGGGGUAUUUAUCCCAAAAUUAAUUAAUUUCAGUAAUUAAUUAGAAAAUCACCGGGCAUUAGUUUACAGCGCCAAAAAGGAUUUAUGGGCUGUUGAAACUAGUUGGAUUAUUAAAAGUGAAAAUAUUAUAUUUUGGUUAAGGUCGACCGUAUACCCACAUACGAGUAUUUUUAUCGUGUAUGAUAAAAAUGGCGAAAUGGUUAAAUGAUCGGGAUGAUAUGUUAUAUCAACCUGCAGACUACAAUCUGGCACCUUCUAGUGAGCAUAAAUAGCAUAUUAUAUGAGUAUUUGCGGCAGCUUUUGGUGAGCAUAAAUAGUAUAUUAUAUGAGUAUUUGCGGCAGCUUCUGGUGAGCAUAAAUAGUACAUUAUAUGAGUAUUUGCGGCAGUUUCUGGUGAGCUAUACUAUCUGUAUAUCAGCUUAAAAUGAGCAAUCCUGAGUAUGAUCGGAUUUAUAGAUAGUAUUGAUUGAGAAGACCGGGGAAGGGUCUUGAUGAUAUGUAAUCGACUAAGUCGAUUAAUCCAUGAUUCGAUCUGGCUGGAUAAAUUAAUUGUGAAGUGAUUGGUUGUGAUAUGAACUAUACUGACUUGCAGGAAGAAUCUAAGGUAAAGCUAAGUCUUCUGACUCUUGUUUGUACUUAGGCAGCCUUAGAGCAUAUUUUCUUCUUAAUCGGGUCUUAAGGGUAAAACUCGCUGAGACGUCGUCUCACCCUAUUGUGGGAUAACAUUUCAAGUCCUUAGAUAGCAGCUCCUCCAAAGCAUUUUGGACAACCAAGGAAGAUCACAAAACAAAAGUACGACAUUCCGAUCCAUGGGCAUCCCGAGGGGCUGCAGUAUGAACUGGUGAAGUCUAUAAUUUGGGUUAAUGUGGGUCUACCCAAAAAGGUGCCCCAUCAAUACAGGGCAUGGUAUCGCCUAUAUCGUAAUUGGCAAAGAGAGAGCCCCGUGCAGAAAUGUGAGAUAUCUGUGUAUGUGAUGAAAGUUGCUUUUGAAAAGGGUACGGUAGACCUUAAGGGUGGUUCGGUGGUGGACCUGGUGGACCCUAAGCUUGAAGAUGCAAAUUCUCCAAUGUAUUCUGUUGUAGGCUCCAAAUGGAGUGUGAAAGAAGGAGAAAUCGUGGAUGAUGACUCGUAGUUGAUUGGAAACCCUACCCCUAUUUGCAGACCCUGUUUUCUGACCGAUGUUGUGUAGGACUUGACUCCUGUAGUUUGUUGUAUACAUAUGACUUAGUUUGUUGUAUAUGUAUAUAAGAGUGGUUGUUGUUUUAGUUCGAAAAUUUUGGCCCUACUUUUCUAUACCAUUGUGUGAUUGUCUAGGGAAUAUUAAUUGCUUCCGCAUGUGCAUUAAAAUGAAUGGGUUGGCGAUGCAUCUUGGAACGUUGCUAUCUAAUCGACCAAGCCGGGAUGGGCGCGCGCCCGAAGGGUCGAGGUGUGACACACUUGUCUCAUAUUCCCUAUUACUUCAUCAAAUGAUAAACUAUACUUUUAAUCCCUAAGUUUGAGCAUUCUUUUCCAUUCAAAUCCUCUAAGCUUUGAGUUUUGUCUAUGGCUUCAAUAUAUGAUUUCAUUCUUUGCUUCCAAUAGGCACAAUUGCUUCCAUCAAAGUAAGGUAGCUUGUUGGGAGCUUGAGUAUCAUUGGUAAAGAAGCCGCCAAGAUUAGCCAUGAUAAAGGAUCUUUGUAUUCAGAAGAAAUACACUUCAGAUAAAGAGUAAUAGAGCUCUGAUACCAAUUGUUGAGAUUAACAAUAUAACUUAGAGGGAGUGAAUAUGUUGUUUUCAAACUUUGAUGAUCUUUUGCGGAAAUUAGCUAAUAGCUAAGUAAAGAUCACCAUGACCUGAUAUUUAAUUAAACUCACACUAACGGUAUGCCAAUAAGAAUGAGAAGAUGAAAAAUAGCGGGACACAAAGAGUUAUAGUGGUUUGGCUUUAUUCUCAAGCCUGUGUCCACUCUUUAGAUUGAUAGCCUCAAAACGGGCUGGAUUCCACUAACAAUAUGCUUGGAAAGUUAUAACCGACUAGCAUUGAUCUUUUGUGUGAUAGAUCGCACUAUCUUGAUUCAAUUACUACUCUUACACUUGUACAUUUAAUCUGUAGCACAAUCGCUAAAUAGCACGACAAGCAAGACAGUAAAACAUAGAGAUUUAAUAUGAGAAUAAUAGUACGUAAGCUACUUGAUCUUUUAUGUGCUGCACUCUCUUGGUUCCUAAAGCCUUCUCUUUUAUAAUCUUUCUAAAACUAUUUGUUGAGGUUGAUUUAGAGAGAUAGGUCAUCGUUGAAGAGUUUCCAUUAAACUGCUGUCCAGAAAGAUACUACCCAUACAGUUCCGUUUCUAGGACUUCUGCAAAUUGACCAAAAAUGACAAUUGCUAUUGUCUUCUUACUGCAGUUUUUAACUCACUUAUUAGACACUCUAGCUACUCUACUACAUGCUUUAUUUCGAUUCUGCCGCUUUAAGAAUCCAAAUCUUACAAUGGCUCUUUAGCUAAUCCAACGAACAUCAACUGACGUAGUUGGUUAUUACAUCACCGUCAACCUGAUCUUUACUACUCUAAUAUAAAUAUCAUCAGUACCUUAUCUUUUUGGUUGACUAGUGUUGUUUGUAAUAAUAGGAGAAUCGCAAAAUUUUCCAAUUGGUCACACCAUGGAUGUUGCAUGGUCCUUUGGUCCAAACAUCUGCAAACAACAUAGUACGUAAUAUACUAAAGAUAGUUUGAGCAUAAUCAAAAUCUCUUGAAGAUGUUUUGUCCAAUAAAGACUACUUUCCUUUUUGUGGAUGGGGGCUAUCCAUUUAUUUUAAUACCUUUGAUAAAGAAAUAUUAAAAAUUUAUCAAAUUGUUCUUUCUUGGAUACAGCAUAUUUCACCCAAAAUGAAGCUCUUCUGAAUUCAAGGUCAUUAGAACCUGAGGAUUCGAAAUGUUUUUUUUUUUUUUGAGUGAUUUGAAAUUAGGCCAUGAAGGCCCUUUUUUUAAUACUUGUAUUUAUCAAUGUUGAAAUGAAAAUAAAAUAUGCUUCAUAAUAACUGAAUAUUGAAUACCAAAUAAUACCAGUUUGUUAACUAAGCAUGAGCACCUUUAAUAAGUUUUUUGCAAAAUAUUUAGCAAGAUUCUAUUGCCAAUGAGUAUCUUUUUCUAUUGAAUGAAUAAGUGGCCUUCCCUUCCUUGCCUAGCGAAUUAGUGUUUUUUCGACUUAAUUAAACCUUUUAAGCUUAUUUUUAUUAUGAUAACGGAAUUUGUUUAAUUUUAAUGAGUGCUAAAUAUUUAAGUUUUGAAGACUUAACCGAGUUAUCAAAUAGCCUACAAAUUUGGAAACUACUCACCUUAGAUUUACUCUUAGUAAACACCGUUUUAAUGUAUUGUAGCAUGGAUGUAAAUUUUGGUGAUUACACAUAAAAUUUAGAUGCAAACCAGUAAAUUAUUAAUCACCUCGACAAUGAAAUUCAAAUAUUAGAUAUUUUAUGUUGACUUUAGGAAAUUUAAAUAUGAGAUAGCAAUUUCUUUUACCAGCAAAGAAAGGUGGAAAUAGGCGAUCAACAUUUACCCUCUAAAUGUUAGGCAUUAGAUUUUAUCCAUGACUUUUCAAUGCAACGGUAAAUAUGCAAACGGGUGGAGGUUGGAUUUUUUUUUUCAUAACAUUGUUUGAUUGUGAUAAACUUGUUUAUAUUGAGCUACCACACUGGGUGAUAUACAAGAUAGUAUCUCAUGAAUAUGAAAAAUCUGAAUUAUGAAAUUUUUUCUCCCAUAUUUCAUACGAUGAAUACCAUAUAUAUAUUGGACAUUACCAAUCCGAGAUAAUUAUCGUGUAAUUUUUUUUUCAUUUUUUUUUCAUUUUUUUUCAUAAUUAAUGUUUUCGACGCCAUCAGUUUCUGACCAAUGUUCAUCUCCUCCCUCCCGUCCGGCGGCCCUGCUCAAACCGAGAGGCUUCCAGAGUUUAGAGAGAGAGAGAGAGAGGGAAGACGAGCUUCGAUGGAGUCAAGUCAACCAUAUCCAAGACUCUCUCUCUCUCUCUCUCUCUAUCCUCAUCUCCCUCCUCUCUCAACCCCUUCGUCUUCCGCCUCCAUCGCUACUUCUGCUCAUCACCGAUGCCUCCCCUCUUGGCUCCGCUGCAUAUAUGCCGACCGCAUCCGCUCCCCGAGCCUCGCUGAGCCGUCUCCGUCUCCCCCGGCUCCCGAGAGGUUCCGCUUGUGGGGCGUUUCGCUUCUCUCGGCGCCUUCAGCGGACGCGGCGGCGGCGGAGGAGGCGGAGUCGACGGUGAGGAUUGGAAGGUGAAAUCGGUGGUGGAUGGAGCCGAGGAAGCCUCAGGUGUCUCCUCUGAUGUGAUAAUUCUCGACGUCGGAGUAAGCCCCUCUCUCUACGUGAAUGUACGAGCUGAAGCUUCGAUUUUGUCGAUGCUUGUCCAACUUUCCCUGCAUUAUAAUGCUGAAGAUGUUAUUACGCGGUGCGUAUCAUGUUUCUUUUUCCAGUGUGCGGCCACUUGAGUGGCUCUGUUUCGUCUCUGCAGGGAAUGACUUGCGGGGGGUGUGCAGCGGGAAUGAAGAGAAUUUUGGAAAAUGAAGUGAGUUUGCCACUGCUUUUGUCUUUCUUGUAAGCCAUCUUUCAUAUGAAAAGAAUCGUCAUCGACUUGAAUUAAACCAAGUAUGAGAACUGUCAUUUUCUGAAUGUGAUUUGAACCCAGCGUGUUCUCUCUUUUUUUCUGCUCUAGCAUUGGACAGCCUCAAGUAUCUGCCGCCAGUGUCAAUCUUACAACUGGGACAUCUAUUGUGUGGCCUGUAUCUGAAGCCAAGGCUAUGCCUAAUUGGCAAAAAGAGUUGGGAGAAACACUAGCAAAACACUUGACAAAUUGUGGCUUUAAGUCUAACCCUUGAGGUAAGCGGUUUUAUUCACCAUCUGCUUGUUGCAGUUGAAUGGGGUGUGGCUGACAUUCGUGAAUAUCAUUGCCCCAUAUAAUGUACCUUUUAUCACAGAUUGUCUGUGUCGAAGACUCCAUCUGCUAGUUGGAAGUACGAGUUUUUAUAUCUGUAAUUUUCCCUGUCAUAUAAUACAAACUAACUCCGAGAAGAAUAUCUUUAAUGCAGGGGGUGGUUGACAAGUUCUCUGAACGCUCUCAUGGAUUUGGUUUUGUGACUUUUGAUGAGAAGCAAGCAAUGGAUGAGGCUAUUGAGGCUAUGAAUGGGAUGGACUUGGAUGGGAGAAAUAUCAUUGAGGAAAAAGCUCAGCCUCAAUGUUCAGGUGGAGACCAAGAUGUUGAUUGCAGUUGUAAACGUGGCCCUGAUGGGGAUAGUGGUACCCAAGGAGGAUCAGGAAAGGACUGCUAAAUCAGGACCAUUCUGGUCCCUAUGAACAUCGUGGUACCGGAAACUUCCAUUCAGGGUAGAAAGAAUAUUCCUGAUAGGUAUGUACACAAUUUUGUUUGCAGAUAUAUUAAAGCAGUUGAUGCUGUGCCGAUUGAAAAAUAUUUUGUGCUUGUAGCAGAGCAAUUGGAGGUACUGCUGUUACUUGCUGGAGCCAAAGUCCCUUCUGUUGCAUCUCUUCUUUAUUGUUCUCUGGGUGGACGAAUUGGCUUGAUCAGUUUUUGAUGUGUGAACUAUGGCUGAAAUAUUUGAAUGUUUAAUGUCCAUGAAUGCUCGUUUUGAUGUUUUGGUCUGAUGACAAUGCUUGCUUGACUUCAAAAAUCAAAUUUGGCCUUACUGUAUCAAUGCUAUAACGGGUCCUGGAUUCUUUUUGGGUUACAUACUUUAGCACUAACGAAUGCAUCUGAGAUUGAUCUUGGUUGACUUCUUCAUUGGCAUUUGCGACUGCGGAGCGCGGACAUCUUUUCGGUGUCUUGAUGGCUCUUUUGAGGAUAGGGCGAGAGAUUCACCUGUGGAAGUAAUGCGUUCUCUCUUUGCAAAAGAGAAGCUGCCUUAGAAAUGAAUGCCUCUUUUGGCUACGAUUUUUCGAAAGUCUUAACUUUUUGAAGAGGAGUUAAGCGGGUAAAUGCUAUCUUUUCUUAUACACAUUUAGUAUGUGAGCUUCCUGUCCAUAGUCUGCACUAUAUUAACUCUGCUAAGCUUUCGGCAGGAUUCUUGGCUGUUUGUGGUGCUUUGAUACACGGUCCUGUUACUUUCAUGUCAUAGGACAAGGUGUUAGUCUUAAAAAUUCUGAAUAGUCCUUUUGUCCUCAGGAAGCUAUUACUUUGUACUGAUGGAUGAGUUCUUUCUCAGUAAAACGUGAUCUUUUGGAAGCUUUGGUGAGCAUGCCAAUUUGAUUUGCAUUUUCUUCUUCCUAGCAAUCUCCCGUCUCUUGUUAUCAUCUUGGUGGAAGAUAUCUGGUCUUUGUCUCCUCCGUUUGCAUGGUGCUUCUAUCUUGUUAGGUUUCCCGGAUAAGUUACCCUUUCAGGUGUAAUGAUGGCUUUUCCUUUGAAUUGGCAAUGUUCCUAAUAAACACAUGGUUCUUUUUGCUUGGGCAGCUGUGCGUGCAUUGACUUGCAUUUUUGCACUGAUGAUCUUUGCUGCACACAUUCAGCCAAUCAUUUGUGAUUGAUCAUGUAUCUUCCCCCCUAUUCUUUUAGAAGUUGUGCUUGCUCCAUCUAAAUUUGAUACUCUUGGAAUAAGAAACAACCGGAUAUGACCAUCUCCUUUUCAGUUUUUCUCUGUAGUUACUUGGUUAAGGUUUUUGUGCAUUCUUAAAUAUGGUUCUGUAAAUGAAUAUUUUCUUUUCCCGUUGCUUGUCAAAAUAUUUGGAGAUCAAAGUGGCAACAUGUGCUCAGCUGGGAAGAGUACACUAUUCUUCCUUGUUAGAAUCAGAGGGGAAUUUUAUCAAGGUAUUGGUUAAUUUUCAAGUAGAGUUUGACAGUAGAUUCUAUCAAAUUUCUGUUGAUCUAUGCGACUUUCUUUAUAUAGUUAUUUCUUCAAUCUCAGAACUAGUCACAUGCAUAACUUGAUCCCUAAUGUCAAGGACUUUCUUAAUAGAUUUUUCAUAAUUUCAAAAAUCAUUCUAGAGUCCACCCCCCCAAAAAAAAAAAAGAAAAGAAAAGAAAAGGGGAGCUGAAAUAGGAAACCCAAAGGAUCCUAAUCAUUAAAUUACAAAGUACAAAAAUGUCCAUGGGAACGCGGUGACCAAAUCACCAUAUGAGUUAUAAUAACUCUACACUAGGAAAUAAAAACCAUAGCAGACCACGAAAUCACAUUUAUGGAAAUUCAAGACUAGGAAUUUAAUUACGUAGAGUACAUCUUGGAGGGAAAAGCUUGUGUGCGCGAUGUUAGCGAAGUCUAGUUCUGUCGAUGGAUGAGGAGACCAUAAUAGCAAGCAUGGACUGCGUUUUAAUCUUGUGCUGAAACUUUAUCAUCAUAAGCCCUAUUUCUUCAGUCUUGUCUUCUCCAUUAUCCACUGAUGCUUCCAUUGCUUCAGCCUCUACACAAUCCAAGUGCAUGCCAUAAUCGCAGUCUGUGCAACAGUAGCACCAGCAUCCCUUGGCGAUGCUCUCCCAGCACAUGUCGGAUCAGGCUCUAUUCUUGCGUCUGGGAAUAGCACAAUGUGAGGGUGCUCGUGGUCCUUGCGCUUUGCCCUUGUCACCAAGUCGGUGCACUCCACAUAGAGAUCGUAUUGGUGGAUCGAGCAGUUGUAGGAGGAUGUGUCCCCGUCAUCUCCACAUGCGUCACAAGUGAACUCUCUCCCCUCGUAAGGUGGCGAGAGGAGGAAAUGAAGCGGGUACUCAGGGUGCAACUCAUGAUGAAUAGUUCUCAUUGGUUGUCGCUGUCCACCACUGUCUGGUAAUGCUUUUGGUACUUUGAUAGACCCAUGUUAUUGGGUUGCUGGGACGACGGUGCCCUGAAGGUUGGUGUAGGGAAGUUGGUAGCAGGGGAUUGGUGCUCUUCGAUAGCCUCCACAUUUGGUUGCUUUGCCAACAUCCCGAAACUCGAUGGCCUGGUGAUGUCCUGAGCCGGUUAUUGGUGCUCGAGGUAGAAGGAGAAGAGUGAGGCUGCAUAGCUCACGUGUGGGAGAAUGAUCUCCUGAAGCGGGAGAGGGUUGUUGGUACAAUGGACAUGGAGGUCGAAGUCGCACGGCACACAAGAGUAAGAGAUGCCGGUGCAAGGGUGGCAAGGGCAGCAGAGGAAGGAGGCAGAGGGGUAGGCUGGGGAGGACAUUAGAAUGAGGGGGGUGGGAAUGGUGGUGGACAGGACGCUUCGCAUGGAAGCAGUGCAAAUGAAGGAAGUAGCUGCACUAGAUGCAGGCGAAGACGUCCAAUGGCGCUUCGACCUGGGAUUCGCAUUCGAAGCAUUGAAUCGGAUGGUCAAGCCCUUAUUGAAAGGGUUGGCAAAGGAUCAGGUUGUGUGGAUGGCUGAAAUGCUUGUGUGACUCCAUCCAUGAAUUAGGCUGUGUGUGUGUGUGAAAGAGCGAAGGGAGGGAGGAAGGUUGGCUUAUGAAUUCCACUAGGAACUGCUCAUAUAAGCAGGAAAUAGUGGAUGUCGAGGAAUCAAUGGAAAAACAUUGAAUAUUCUCUAAAUGAUGUGUUGGACAGAGUCAAUUACAAUAUACAACACUUAUGUAAAAACUUGUGUUUUUCAGUUGGAUCCAAUGUGAAUUUUAUUAUGUCUUGAUAUGUGAUUGCCAUAAUCUAUUAUACUAACCCUAUAUAAUGCCCUCAGGAAAUUUCCAAGAAAGUCCUAAAUCUAUUGGAUGGCGAUCGAUUGUGUUAUAAAUCUUUCAAUUUCAUUAAUUUAGUCAUAAAUAUUUUGACAAUUUGCAAUGAAGUUUUUCCAACUAAAUAUGACUAGAAAAUCAAUAAUGUGAAUGUCAACUAUCCCAAGCGGCAUAAUCGAUGUUGACGUAAACAACUUUUGUAAUUGAAAAAAAAAAAUAUUUUGAAUUUUGUUUUUCUAUUGUUGAGAUUCUAACUAGUGGGGCCUAAUGCCCUCGCCAGCCACAAGGAAGUGCCUACACGCCCUCACUGGCCAUAGGCGAGUGCCUUUGGGCCUUUAUCAGCUACAAGUGAGGGAGUCACGGCCCUCCCUUGUGGCUAGCAAGGGUCGCAGCCUCACCGGCUCAAAGUUGGAAAAAAAAGGAAAAUAAAAGAAAAGAAGGGAACAUAAAAUUAAAAAUAAAAAAUUAGAAAAAAAAUGAAAAAGCUAUCCACAUCAGCACCAACUAUGCCACAUAGAAUAACUAGUAUACACGUCAGCGAUUUCCAGCCAAUUAAUUGGUAAUCAUCGUGUUUAUAACUAAAUUGGCCAAGUAAUGUUAGUUGUAUUCCUUUUUUGGCGCAUUAAAGGGAAGUGUAUCCAACAUGGCAACCUAUGACAUUACCUAGUAUAUAUAUAUAUAUAUAUCUUGAAGGUGAGGUCCACUAAUUCAGAUCAUUGUAUACAGCUUCUCACCUGCAUGAAGUGGUCGUGGAAAUCAUAGCCCAUGUUGAUCUCUCUCUCUUCUUCAAGUUCAUGCUCAUGCAUGUCAUUGGCAGAGUAGGGUGAUUCUUCCGUUUAAUCGACUCGGUUAUUCCUUAUGAUCACGCUACACUUACAAAUCUAUAAAAAUUGUCCAUUUAUUUUUUGGCAUCAUGUGCCCUUACUUAAAGGGCAAGUCAAGUUGUUUCUUGUUCCACGUAUGCUUUACUAAAAUGGUUAAACUAUACUUUUGAUCCCUGAACUUGAGAGCAAUUUUUUUUCUCCAAUCAAAUGCUCCUCAACUUUUAGCUUGUUUCAUCAAGUUAUGAACUUGUAUAGCUUUUCUAAUCAACUCUCUUCAGCUUCAAAUAUAGUUAAUUGGAUCCGAUAGAUCUUUUUCCAUAAACUAUCACAUCUUUCUCUUGUCUAUUUUCAUCACCUACAUAUUCUUUAUAUUCUCAAUCUUUCUUUGACAUGCUGUUAGGUUUAACCGUCUCAUUUUUGGUACAACUGCAGAUGAGUUUAACCAUCAUGAGGAAUCUAUUGAAUUUUGCUAAAUAAAGGGACCAUUCAUGGAAUAGUCUCACACGCUAGUAUUCCUUUUAGUCUUUUUAUAACAAUGAGAUGUCUGGGGUAGAGCACUCGACUGGUCAUUACUGAGUAUUGUGGUCCUUCAUUCCCCACACAUCAUGGGUAAUCACCGAAAAUACAUGGAUCUGUGCUCCUAGCGGCUCAAGAGAAAAGUGCAAGUGUAGUAAUUUGAACUCAUGUCAUGAGUGAAAAAGAAACACAAAUUUACCACUUAAGCAACGCCUUGGAUUUAAAUCUGGAGAUUAUUCUAAAUUGAAUGAAUAUGAGACAUAGCAUAGUCUAAAAUGGUUAUCAUAGCAUGUGAGACAUAUUUGAAUACACAGACAAAAUUUUAGCAUAAUAUUUAGUUGGUGCGUUUCAUCGUUCUGAUUCUACAAUAUAGGAGUGAUUUUUACAACUCUAUAUAAUGAGUCGAGUGAAUCUAAUUCUAGUAUAAACUAUAUAUAUUUACUUAUAGGUCUUGUUUAUAAAUGUAAUUAUAGCCUCCUAUUAGGGAAGUGUUUUACUUCCUAUUGGUGGACAAGUCGGGCUUUAGGAAUAUGCCAGAACUCCAAUCUGCACACACGAAACAGGUCGAAGUGUUCGAAUAUUUUAUCUAGAUUGGCGCUCCAAUAUUUAAGUUAGGUAGGGAAGAAUAUGUGCAGAUACUGAGCUUAAAAGGAAGAUGAUAAGCUAAAUACUAUAAACUUUACUUGAGUCCCUUGGCAGUAUUUAUAGACAAGCUUACCCUGGCGGGUGAAUGGUCGCUAACAUAGGUGAUGGCUUGCUUGGACAGGGAGGUCUUUGACAUGCCAGGUGGGUCACUUACAAUUUUACAAAUGGGUGGAAAUUAGUCUAUGGGGAAAUUAGUCUAUGAUAUUUGAGCCCAACUCUUUAUGGGGUCUAUAUGGAUUUGCACAAGGCCCAUAUUCAACCCAUUUAGUUUAUCAGCUCCAACCCAUAAUUUGAGACGAAGAAACUUCUUCGGCUGCAAGAAGAGCACACUUGGCUAUUACAUCCUACGUCACGAACACUUCUGACUCUUGCAAGUUAAGUCUUAAAGAGUUGAUAAUUGGAAAAUAUAAUUGAAAGGAAGAAACAAAAAAGUUUAAUGUAUGUUAUUCACAAGAUAAAAGGGAAAAUAAUAGUGUUAUACUUAAGUGAACCUUAAAACCUUAAAAGGUCAUGUUAGCAUCGAAUCAAAGCUUGAACGAGAUUCAUAAUUUAUGGAAGGACUUUUACCACCACCUUCACACCUCCGUCCAUGACUGACGCUCAAGCUCCCUCACUAACUCGACGAGUCAGUCCAUGGAGCUGCCCAUUCUUCGAAUGCAACAAUUUAGAAAAAAAAAAUUAUUAAAAAUAGAUCAUGAUCGGGUUGGGCACAGGUUGUCGAAUAUAUACUUUAUGUAAAUUAGUCAAUUUUGGCUGAAUUUCGACUUAACCCAAAAAACCCGUUUGACGGGUGUACAUAGACCAAUGGGCACUAGAAUUUUGAGUAGCGGACAAACCAUUGCUCCCCCUAGUGGAUUUAUGCAAGGUGGUGGUCUUGUCGAGGGACGACCCGUCAAUUGCGAUGGACGCGCCUCGUUAUCAAAGGCUCACCUUGACCCGUUGGACAAGGCAUGUAACAUGUUGGAUCAGAUAAGGACAUGUAGUGUGGGUCCGAUAAUGAGCUAAAUCCGGAAUUGGUUUUUUUUUUUUUUUAAUUAUCCCACAUCAUGUGUUAUCAGGAAAUAAGAGCAAGUUGAAUAGAUGAAACGGAUCGACGCUCCUACGACUUUUCACAUGUGAGCUGUCUCGCUCAUGCCACUGUCUAAAGAAGAAGCCGGAUCAUUGACUUGACUGAAACUCUCGCACUUCUUCAAUGAAAUGCAUCUGCCAACUGCACCUUGUUUACAUUUCUAACUAGCUAUAUACCUGCGGAUUUAAAUACGUGCCGAGUCAUUUUACAAUUACAAAGAAUCUUUUGAAUAAAAAUGUGAUUUUGUUAAUAUAAUAGUACAAUUUAGGAAUGAUUUGUACAACUCUAUAUAAUGAGUCGCAUGAAUCUAAUUCUAAUUACUUAUAGGUCUUGUUUAUAAAUGUAAUUAUAGCCUCCUAUUAGGGAAGUGUUUUAACUUCCUAUUGGUGGACAAGUCGAUCUUGAGGAGUCUGCCGGAACUCCAGUCUACACACACAAACACGGGUUGAAGUGUUCGAAUAUUUUAUCUACAUUGGCGGUCCGAUAUCUAAGUUAGUUAGGGAAGAAUAUGUGCAGAUACUGAGGUUAAAAGGGUGAUUAUAAGCUAAAUGCUAUAAACUUUACUUGAGUCCCUUGGCAGUAUUUAUAGACAAGCUUACCCUGGCGGGUGAAUGGUCGCUAACAUAACGUCAUUUGGUUGAGACAGGUGACGGUUUGCUUGGACAUGUGACGACUUUGACAUGCCAGGCGGGUAACUUACAAUUUUACAAAUGGGUGGAAAUUAGUCUAUGAUAUUUGAGCCCAACUCUAUAUGGGAUCUAUAUGGGUUUGCACAACCCAUUUCGUUUAUCAGCUCCAACCCAUAAUUUGAGACGAAGAAACUUGUUCGGCUGCAAGAAGAGCACCACUUGGCUAUUGUAUCCUACAUCACGAACACUUUUGACUCUUGUAAGUUAAUUCUUAAAGAGUUGAUGAUUGGAAAAUAUAAUUGAAAGGACGAAAGGACGAAACUAAAUGUACAUUAUUCACAAGAUAAAAGGGAAAACAAUAGCGUUAUACUUAAGUGAACCUUAAAACCUAAAAAGGUCAUGUUAGCAUCGAACCAAAGCUUGAACAUGUUUCAUAAUUUAUGGAUGGACUUUUACCACCAUCUUCACACCUCCGUCCAUAACUGACGCUCAAGCUCCCUUGCUUACUCGAUGAGUUAGGCCAUAGAGCUUCCCAUUCUUCAAAUGCAACAAUUUAAUUAAAAAAUAUUACAAAUAGAUCAUGAUGGGUCGGUCACAAGUUGCCGAAUUUAUACUUUAUGUAAAUUAGUCAAUUUUAGCUGAAUAUUUUUUACUCAACCCAACAAACCCAUUUGACGGGUGUACAUAGACCAAUGGGCACUGGAAUUUUGAGUAGCGGACGAGCCAUUGCUCCCUCCUGUGGAUUUAUGCAAGGUGGAGGUCUCGUUGAGGGAUGACCCGUCAAGGGCAAUGGACACGCCUCAUUAUCAAAGGAUCGCCUUGCCCCGUUGGACAAGGCAUGUAACAUGUUAGAUUAGGUAAGGACAUGUGAUGUGGGUCCAAUAAUGAGCUGGGCACUGGAAUUUUGAGUAGCUGACGAGCCAUUGCUCCCUCCAGUGGAUUUAUGCGAGGUGGAGGUCUCGUCGAGGGAUGACCCAUCAAGGGCAAUGGACACGCCUCAUUAUCAAAGGAUCGCCUUGCCCCGUUGGACAAGGCAUGUAACAUGUUAGAUCAGGUAAGGACAUGCGAUGUGGGUCAAAUAAUGAGCUGGGCACUAGAAUUUUGAGUAGCGGACAAGCCAUUGCUCCCUCCAGUGGAUUUAUGCGAGGUGGAGGUCUCGUCGAGGGAUGACCCGUCAAGGGCGAUGGACACGCCUCAUUAUCAAAGGAUCGCCUUGCCCCGUUGGACAUGGCAUGUAACAUGUUAGAUCAGGUAAGGACAUGCGAUGUGGGUCAAAUAAUGAGCUGGGCACUAGAAUUUUGAGUAGCGGACAAGCCAUUGCUCCCUCCAGUGGAUUUAUGCGAGGUGGAGGUCUCGUCGAGGGAUGACCCGUCAAGGGCGAUGGACACGCCUCAUUAUCAAAGGAUCACCUUGCCCCAUCGGACAAGGCAUGUAACAUGUUAGAUCAGGUAAGGACAUGUGAUGUGGGUCCAAUAAUGAGCUAGGCACUGGAAUUUUGAGUAGUGGACGAGCCAUUGCUCCCUCCAGUGGAUUUAUGCGAGGUGGAGGUCUCGUCGAGGGAUGACCCAUCAAGGGCGAUGGACAUGCCUCAUUAUCAAAGGAUCACCUUGCCCCAUCAAACAAGGCAUGUAACAUGUUAGAUCAGGUAAGGACAUGUGAUGUGGGUCCAAUAAUGAGUUGGGCAUUGGAAUUUUGAGUAGCGGACGAGCCAUUGCUCCCUCCAGUGGAUUUAUGCGAGGUGGAGGUCCCGUCGAGGGAUGACCUGUCAAGGGCGAUUGACACACCUCAUUAUCAAAGGAUCACCUUGCUCCAUCGGAUAAGGCAUGUAACAUGUUAGAUCAGGUAAGGACAUGUGAUGUGGGUCCAAUAACAAGAUUUUUAAUGAAGAUUCUUGCAUCGAUGACAUCAACAUGUCAUACUACGGAAGAUCCUAUUGCCCGCUAGUAUAUAUUCGCGAAUUGUUUCGAAACGACAUCCUAAGAAAACCGAAAGAGAGCUGAGAGCACUUUGCUACAAAUCUUCAUGGACCUUCCCAAUAUAGAUAAGGUUUUGUCCAGGUCAUUCUCAUGCUUGACUACCAUCAUUCUUUUGCUAGGGAGUGCCCUAACUUUAGUAGAAGCUGGAGGGAACGAGACUGAUUGGCUGGCUUUGUUGGAAUUUAAGGCCCAAAUAACUGAUCUCGACGAGGUUUUGAGCUCGUGGAAUGAUUCUAGCCACUUCUGCGAGUGGUACGGUGUCACAUGCGGUCGUAGACACCAAAGAGUCUCGGUGUUGGACCUCAGCUCCAAGAACUUGAUCGGGGUCUUGCCGCCUCAUAUUGGUAACCUGAGCUUUUUGAGGGAAGUUUAUCUACAAAACAAUAGUUUUCAUGCCAAAAUUCCCCCACAUUUUGGCCGAUUGUUUCGAAUGCAAAAAUUGCGCCUUAACAACAACUCGUUUAGUGGUCAAAUCCCUUCGAAUCUCUCCUAUUGCUCUAAUCUGCUCCUUCUUAACUUAGGCUUCAACAUGCUCAAAGGAAAUUUGCCGAUAGAACUGGGCUCAUUGUCCAAGCUCCAAGUACUUAUACUUCAAGUCAACAGCUUGAUGGGAAACAUCCCGCCGUCUAUUGGAAACUUAUCAUCUCUUCAAAAGUUCGGAAUAUCGUGGAAUAACUUCGGUGGUACGAUCCCAAAGACUCUUGGCCAGCUGAGAAAUCUAAAGGGGUUUAGUCUCACCGGAAAUAAAUUUAUCGGUACAAUUCCUAUCUCAAUCUUCAAUAUAUCCACUCUGACAAGUCUUGGUGUAGGUGAAAACCAAUUAGAAGGGGGUUUACCUAAUGACUUAGGCUUCACUCUUCCGAAUAUUGAGUUUAUUUUUAUGUAUCAAAACCACUUCACUGGACCCAUUCCUGAGUCAAUAUCCAAUGCCUCUAACCUCAAGCUAAUCCAAAUUGACCAGAACAAUUUUACUGGGAAAGUUCCUUCUUUUUCAAACAAAAGAGGACUCUAUUGGUUUAAUAUUCGCCUCAACAACUUAGGAGGUGAACAAUCUACUGAUUUGGACUUCCUUUGCUCUUUAACCAAUUCCACAAAAUUGAUAUAUUUGAGUAUAGGGGAAAAUGCUUUUCGAGGACUAAUACCCGACUGUAUCAGCAACCUCUCGACCACCCUUUCCACAUUUUCGUUAAAAUGCAACCAUAUUUCUGGUACCUUACCUUCUGGAAUCGGAAAUCUCAUCAAUUUGGAGGGCUUGUCUAUGUGGAGCAAUAACAUCUCAGGAAACAUUCCUUCUGAGAUCGGAAAUCUGAACAAAUUGAAGAUUUUGGAACUCAGCCAAAAUAAAUUAUCGGGGAAAAUAUUGGAAUCAUUUGGGAAUUUAAGUUUGUUAAUCCAAUUGUACUUGGACAACAAUAAUUUUCGGGGCUCGAUACCAUCGUCUCUUAAAAAUUGCCAAAAUCUACUUCUCUUAGACCUUUCGACCAACAACCUCAGCGGUCAUGUACCCCCGGAAAUUAUGGGCAUCUCAUCUUUGUCGAUUUACCUUGACUUGUCUCAAAAUAAUCUUACUGGCCCCAUUCCAGAAGAAGUUCGAAAAUUGAAAAAUCUUGGCACACUAUAUCUUAACGGGAACAGAUUAUCUCAACAGAUUCCAAGCAGUAUAGGCAGUUGUAUAAGCAUGGAACGCCUAUAUGUACAGGAUAACUUCUUUGAAGGGCCCCUACCAUCCAUUAUGAGUUCCAUGAGAGGCCUUCAGGUUUUGAAUGUUUCCAACAACCAAUUGUCUGGCCAAAUCCCGAAAUUUCUAGAGUCGCUAAAUCUGACGAAUUUGAGCCUAUCUUACAAUGAUUUCGAGGGUGCAUUGCCUACAGGAGGAGUUUUCAAAAGUGUCAUUUCAACUUCGGUCGUUGGAAACAAGAAGCUUUGCGGGGGUCUCCCAGAUUUUCAACUACCCAAAUGCUACUACAAAGAGUCAAAAUGGACGAGAAUAAGCGGAAUUGCAAAAAUUCUUAUAUCUAUAGUCUCUGCUCUUGUUGGAGUAGCCUGCAUACUGUCUUUGUUAUACUUCUUCUGGUUUAGACACAAUAAGAAUGCAUUAGCUUCAAGCUCUUCUGAAGACGGGCUUUUGCAUGUUUCUUAUCACAAUCUACUAAAAGCGACACGUGGAUUCUCCUCCACCAAUCUGCUUGGUGUGGGCAAUUUUGGGUCCGUGUACAAAGGGCUACUUGAUCAAACUCAGUCGGUUGUGGGCCAUCAAGAUUCUCGACCUUACAUGUGAUGGAGUUCGAAGAGCUUCAUAGCCGAGUGCGAGGUGUUGAGAAGAAUCCGACACCGUAUCUCGUGAAGGUACUCACGGCAUGUCUGGGUGUGAUUUUGUGGAAUGAUUUCAGGCACUUGUCUACGAAUUCAUGUCAUACGGAGGCUUGGAUGAGUGGCUGCACCCGAUUGCAUCACAACAUACGGAGAGAAACAAGUUGAGUCUACUUGAGAGAGUGAAUAUUGCAAUCGAUGUUGCUUGUGCACUAGAUUAUCUCCUUCAUCACUGUGAAAUGCCGAUAGCUCAUUGUGAUCUAAAGCCAAGUAAUGUCCUUCUUGAUAAUGAAAUGAAUGGACAUGUAGGCGAUUUUGGGCUUGCUAGGUUCCUUCCAGAAGCAACACAUAAGUUGCUAGCAGAUCAAUCGAGCUCUGUCGGAGUAAAGGGAUCUUUUGGCUACGUAGCUCCAGGUAAUGAAGCAUACCUUGGGUCAUUCAGUUUGUUUCUUUGAACACAUAAUUGUAGAUAGAUCCUUAAAGAAAAAAAGGCAUAGACAUAAAACGUCACCGAGAAUAUAUUUCAAACUUAAUCAUUCACCUUGCAUCAAUACAUUGUUGAUUGUUGUAGAGUAUGGCAUGGGAAGAGUGGUAUCUACAGAAGGAGAUGUGUAUAGCUUUGGAGUCCUCAUUUUGGAGAUGUUCACAAGCAAGAGGCCGAUUGAUGACAUGUUUGAAGAUGGGUUGGACCUUCAUCGCUUCACAAAGGCAGCUUUGGCAGACCGAGUGGAGAAGGCAAUUGAUCCCAUUUUGCUUCAAGAAAUCGAGGAGUUGGAGAAGAGACGAACAAUUGCUCCAGAGGGCAAGAACAAGAGCUGGUGUAGUAUCAAGGAUUGUUUGGUUUUGAUCAUCGAAGUAGGAAUCACUUGCUCUUUUGAGUCUUUGAAGGAGCGAAUGGACAUCUAUGAUGCAUUGACUAAACUCCAAGGAAUGAGGAAGAAACUUCUUGAGUUCAUUGUCACUGUCUAGUUGAUGUCAAAUCUGAACUUCAUAUGGAGUCAUGUGGUCUUCAUGGUCCUUGCUUUUUGGUUUUUCUUCCUUUGUAAUUCAACCAUUCUCUAGAUGUUACGUUUUGUCUUUCAACAAUUUGGUCUUCAUGGUGGGUAUGCACUACUUGUACCUAUAAUUUUAGUAAAUGUUAAUUUUGUUGCGUCAUGCAGACCAAUAAGCUAGGCUACUGAAACCCAGUACUUCAUUCUUUCUUUGUUUCUUGUUUGUGUGUGUGGCUGCUAUUAAUGGUGCCUUUGGCUUUGCUUAAACUUUCGGACCCACCACGGCACGGUGGCAUUGCGGUGGUGGGUCCGAAAGUUUUUAGCUCAGCCUUCAAAGACUGAGGCAAAAUGGCCUCAAAAGAUUGCAUAACGCUCCUUCAGCGGUUUUAAAAUCAACUAGAAACGAAUUACGGUGGCAAGGAAGGGACAACAACAAUUUCGCUUCAGCAGUAGGCAAAGGAGGAAGCAAACGGUAGAAAAAGCAAAGGAGGAAGCAAACGGUAGAAAUCUAAUUCAUGCAUUUUUUUAAAUCAAUUGCAAAUUUUGGCGAGACUUUCAGUCUGUCGGAAUAAGUCGGCUAAUAAAAAAUUGAUUGGCAGGCAAACUCAGCCCCUUAAUUGAGAUUAUCUUUAUCACUUAUUUGAAGGACGGGGUCGGAGAUCUGGAGCUCGGGCGGCUCCUCCUCCUCCUCCUCUGCCUUCCGGCGGGAGGGCUUGCGGAGGCGGUCGCGGUUCUUGACGAAGAGGUCGAUGAGGGAGGUGGGGAAGCCGGUCUCGACGACGAGGGAGCCACCGCGGCGCGGGGAGGACUGGAGGUCGGCGACGAGGCGGGAGAUGCGGGUGACCCUCGACUUCUUCCAUGGCAAGGGCAUGAUUUCCCCCCCUUCUUCUGCGACACGCGCAGAGCAAGAUCGAAAAGGAGAGAGAGAUGGUCGAGAUGGUGGAGGGAGGAGGUUGAAGGGGAAUGCUGAAGAAGAAGAAGGAGGAGGAAAAAAAGGAAAGAUCGAUGAAAUGGUUCGGUGAAGUGGAGGGGGAAAUGAAACUUCCACGGAGGGAUUCAAACGUUCAUUUUUCACUUCUUAUUUUCCUCGCUGUUUCUCCCUCUCUCUCUCUCUCUCUCUCUCUCUCUCACAGAGGAUGUUUUUCACGUGACUCGAGGGGAGAGUGGGAGGGGAAAUCUGCGCCGUUCUCCGCGCCCAAGCGAGCCCCGCUCGAUCUCGUCCGUCGAAUUAUGCAGCCGUGGGCAGGACCCAUAAAUCCGACGGUGGAUACUCGUUGGGCUCACGUAAGUCCUGUCCACGGAAGUAUUGCUCGGAAAUUGGCGCUAGAAGCGAGACAAAGGACGGCGAGUGGGGGCCGAUGUGAACGGAGGGAGUGUUCAACUGACGCGUUUCUCUGCAGUUGUUUUUUCGGUUUUCGUAUCAGUUGUUUCCUUUCAUCUAUGCUUUCGGUUCCGCUACGUUUUGACAGGGGAUCCGCCUCCAUCGCUACGUCGCCCGGUCACUGCAUCGCCGAUGCCUCCCGUCCCGGCUCAUCGCCCACAGGCUCCGCUGCAUCUACGCCGACCGCAUCCGCAUCCGCAUCCGCCUCGCUUCGGCGCCGUCUCUGUCUCCCCCGGCUCCCGUGAGGUUCCGCUUGCGGUGCGUUCCGAGCUCUGCUGCUCCUCUCGGCGCAUUCGGCGGACGCCGCGGCGGCGGCGGCGGCGGCGGCGGCAGAGGAGUCGACGGUGAGGAUGGGAAGGAGAAAUCGGUCGUGGAUGGAGCCGAGGAGGCCUCAGGGGUGUCACCUCCGAUGUCAUAAUUCUCGACGUUGGAGUAAGCCCCUCUCUCUCUCUCUCUCUCUCUAUGUAUCUCUCGCACUUUAUGUAAAUGUACGAGCUAAAGCUUCGAUUUUUAUUUUUUAUUUUUUAUUUUGGGGUGUGCGGCCACUUGAGAGUCUCUGUUUCGUCUCUGCAGGGAAUGACUCGUGGGGGAUGUGCAGCGGGUAUGAAGAGAAUUUUGGAAAAUCAAGUGAGUUUGCCACUCUGCUUUUGUCUUUCUUGUAAGCCAUCUUUCGUAUGAAAAGAAUCGUCAUCGACUUGAAUUAAACCAAGUGUGAGAACUGUCAUUUUCUGAAUGUGAUUUGAACCCAGCGUGUUUUCUCUUUUUUUCUGCUCUAGCAUUGGACAGCCUCAAGUAUCUGCUGCCAGCGUAAAUCUUACAACCGGGACAUCUAUUGUAUGGCCUGUAUCUGAAGCCAAGGCUAUGCCUAAUUGGCAAAAAGAGUUGGGAGAAACACUAGCAAAACACUUGACAAAUUGUGGCUUUAAGUCUAACCCGGUAAACUGAUUUAUUCACCAUCUGCUUGUUGCAGUUGAAUGGGGUGUGGCUGACAUUUGUGAAUAUCAUUGCCGCAUAUAAUGUACCUUUUAUCACAGAUUUUCUGUGUCGAAGACUCCAUCUACUAGUUGGAAGUACAAGCUUUUAUAUCUGUAAUUUUCCCUGUCAUAUAAUACAAAAUAACUCCGAGAAGAAUAUUUUUAAUGCUGGGGGUGGUUGACAAGUUCUCUGAACGCUCUCAUGGAUUUGGUUUUGUGACUUCUGAUGAGAAGCAAGCAGUGGGUGAGGCUAUUGAGGCUAUGAAUGGGAUGGAUUUGGAUGGGAGAAAUAUCAUUGAGGAAAAAGCUCAGCCUCAAGGUUCCGGUAGAGACCAAGAUGGUGAUCGCAGUUCUGAUCAUGGCCCUAAUAGGGAUAGUGGUACUCAAGGAGGAUCAGGAAAUGACUGCUAAAUCAGGACCGUUCUGGUCCCUAUGAACAUUGUGGUACAGGAAACUUCUGUUCCGGUUAAAAAGAAUAUUCCUGAUAGGUAUGCACACAGUUUUUUUUUUUUUUUUUCAGAUAUAUUAAAGCAGUUGAUGCUGUGCUGAUUGAAAAAUAUUUUGUGCUUGUAGCAGUGCAAUUGGAGGUACUGCUGUUACUUGCUGGAGCCAAAGUCCCUUCUAUUGCAUCUCUUCUUUAUUGUUCUCUGGGUGGACAAAUCUGCUCGAUCAGUCUUUUGAUGUGCAAACUUUGGCUAAAAGAUUCAACUGUUUAAUGUCCGUAAAAUGCUCGUUUUGAUAGUUUGGUCUGACAACAUUGCUUGCUUGACUUAAACAAUCAAAUUUGGUCUUAUGGGUAGUGGAUUUUUUUUCACUUACAAGCUUUAGCAAUUGCAAAUGCAUCUGAGAUUGAUCUUAGUUGACUUCUUCAUUGGCAUUUGCGACUGUGGAGCGCAGACAGCUUUCUGGUGUCUAGAUGGCUCUUUUGAGGAUAGGGCAAGAGAUUCACCUGUGGAAGUAAUGCGUUCUCUCUUUGCAAAAGAGAAGCUGCCUUAGAAAUGAAUGCCUCUUUUGGCUACGAUUUUUCAACAGUCUUUAACUUUUUUAAGAGGAGUUAAGCGGGUAAAUGCUAUCUUUUCUUAUGCACAUUUAGUAUGUGACCUUCCUGUCCAUAGUCUGCACUGUAUUAACUCUGCUAAGCUUUCGGCAGUAUUCUUGGCUGUUUGUGGUGUUUUGAUACACGGUCCUGUUACUUUCAUGUCAUAGGACGAGGUAUUAGUCUUAAAAAUUCUGAAAAGUCCUUAUGGCCUCAAGAAGCUAUUCCAAUAUGCAAUUAACUUGGUAAAAUUCCAUCUCGCCUUCCAUACACUGUACUGAUGGAGGAGUUCCUUUCUCGGUAAAACGUGGAGAUCUUUUGGAAGCUUUGGUGAGCAUGGCAAUUUGAUUUGCAUUGUCUUCUUCCUAGCGAUCUCUGGUAUUGUAUCACCAUCUUCAGUGGAAGAUUGCUGGUCGCUGUCUCCUCCAUGUGCACGGUGCUGCUAUCUUGUUAGGUUUCCUGGAUAAGUUUCUCCUGCAGGUGUAAUGACGGCUCUCCCUUUGAAUCAGCAUAUUUUGGUUGAUACGCAUGGUUCUUUUUGCUUGGGCAGCUGUGCGUGCAUUGACUUUCAUUUCUGCAUAUUAAUGAUCAUCGCCGUGCAGUUUCAGCCGGCUGUCUGUGAUUGCUCUUGUAUUUUCCUUUAAUUCUUUUAGAAGUUGUGCUUGCCCCAAUCUGAGAUUGGCUCCGGGUUUGUGACUCCUAGGGUUUACUCUUGGCAUAAGCCAAAACUGGACAUGAUCACAGUGGCAUUCUUUUUCUCUGUAGUGAUUUGGUUUAUUUUAUUGUGCAUUCUCAACAGUGGCUCUGUAAAUGAAUAUUUUCUUAUCCUGCUAUGAUUGUCGAGAAUUUAGGAGAUCAAAUAUGCAAUUUGAUCCAUGUGCCCAGCGGGAAUUUCACCACACUAUUGGGAAAUUUUCAAGUAGAGCUAGAUGGUACAUUCUUUCAAUUUUCUGUUAUGCUAUGCGACCUUCUCUACUGCUGUUUCUUUAGUCUUAGAGCUAGUCACAUACCUAACUUGAUCCUCACAUGUUAAGGAUCUUGAAUAGAUUCUUCAUGAUGUCAAAAUCAUUUCAUAAUUUUGUAAAAGUGAAAACGGUAGCUAGAAUAGGAAACCCAGGAUCACGAUGAAAUAGUGCAAAUGUCUGAAUUAUCAAAUUGCGAAGGAUGUGAUUGAGAACACUCUGACCUAAUCACCAAAUGUGUUAUGAUAACUACACAUGAAAUAAUCACAACCCUAACAAACCACGAACUUGAAACUUAAGAAAAUUCAAGAAGUGGAAUUAAAUUACGUAGGGCACACCUUGGAGUGAAAGGCCUGGGCUCACAACGCUAGGUUGAUGGAAGAGGAGACCAUACUAGCAAGCAUGGACUGCAUUUUCAUCUGGUGCUGAAGCUUCAUCAUCAUAAGUCCUGUAUCUUCAGUCUCAUCUCCUCCGUCACACUCCGAUGCUUCCACUGCUUCAGGCUCGACACAGCCCAAGUGCGGACAGUAAUCGUAGCCCGUGUAAUAGUAAUGCCAGCAACCCUUGGCGAUGCUUCCCCGGUACCUGUUGUUGAUCAGGCUCCGCUCUUGCGUUAGGGAUAAUAUGAUGCGAGAGGGUGCUCGUGGUCCUCCCGCUUCACCGUUGCCGCCAAGUCGGCGCACCCCAGGUGGAGGUCAUAAUGGCAGAUCAGGCAGUGGUAGAAGGAUGUGUCCCCAUCGUUCAAGGGGAAGUGCAUUAAACAUGGCAGUUUAUCACAUUACUGAGUAUAUAAUUGUUUGCACCAAAAUUUGAAUUCAAUUCGAGCGAAACAAUAAUAUGCACAAAGAAUUUACUCAAAUAUUGAAAAAAGUGGUUGAUAUAUGCAUUAUAUGCAAUUUACUCAAAGAUUAUCCUGUGUUAAGUUAUUUUUUAAGUAAUAGUACAAAAAAUAAAGAAAUAUGCAAGUCAUUAACAUAAUAAUUAAUUGUUUUUCUCAGAAAGACAAAAUUUAGCUUCUUUUUUUUGGGUCCGUGCACAAUAUUUAGUUAGCUAUCUACCAAAUAAACUAGUUUUUGAAAAAGAGAUACACUAACUUAGUUCCAAAUAGAGAAAGAAAAGGAAAAAACCAAAAAAAAAAAAAAAAAGGCAAACAUUAGUCUCAAAUUAAGAUUGGACCCUAUAGUUAAUCUCAAUAAAUGCUGUUUGAAAGAAAUAUGUGUAGUUUCGUCUCUAGAAAGAUAAGAAAUCAUCUUAAAUUAAGAGUAGGACCCGCAAAAGAUGAUAUAAUUAAUUCAAUGUAAUAGGGUGUUAAUAGCCAACAAAGAGAUGGAAAUCACGCGAGUCUAUUAAAAUAAUAAAACUACUUUUGGUCCUUGAAUUUGAGCAUUUUUUUCCAAUCAAUUGAACUUGCAUAACUUUUUAAAUUGAGUCUCUUUAGCUCUGGAUCUAAUUAAUUGGAACCGACAAAUUUUAUUCUUGAGCUUUCACAUUUUUCUCUAUUCUCUUUUGAUAUAUCUAUCUUAAAAAAUCAUUAAUAUGAUGGUCUAAUUAGCGUUUGCCAUCUUCCGUGACGCGAUUGGUGGCUAACACGGAGAAUUUUUUAAAUAAAAUGAUGUCGUUUUGUUUUUUUAAAAAAUUUUAGAUUUUUUUCUUUUUUUUUUCCCUAAUCUUUCAUUAUAGUGUUCAUCAUUUUCCCUUUGCCUGUCGCGAGGACUUGGAAACAACCCGUGAAGGUUGCGGCUAUAGGCAAUGGUCGUGACGCCUUUGGGCAGAUUUGGGCAAUGGUCUUAGAUUGCCCUCGGCCAAGUUAGGCGACGGUGUUGCAGCACUUGCCAUGCCUUCACAAGCCAUUGCUGAGACCUGGACAAACGGCGAAGGGAUGAAAUGAAAAAUAGAAGGAAAGAAUAGGACAAAAAAGAGAGAAAAGAAAAAAAAAACUCAAUUUUCAAAUAUGUGGAAAAAUAUCUAAUAAGUCUAUUAUUCAUGUUAAGGAGAUAGUUUUUCAAGUACCAUUGAACGUGGCAGCCCCAAGUAAAAGAGUCACACUGAGAUCACCUUGAAGCCAUGUCAUAGAAAAAUAUCUAGCAUGAUAUUCUCGUAUACUUAUAGGUGGAUCGAAAACUCAUGACUCAAACUCAAUAUUUCGUAAUUGAUAUGAGAUUUGACAUUUGCCUAUCUAUUCUUUCUAUCCUUAGUUUUUUUUUGGCAUACCAUCUAAUUACUAUGAACAAAUUAAUAAAAUUUUAGCAUAUAACACUUAAUUAGUAUUUCUCUUCUUACAAAUUCUACAGUUUAGGGGUGAUAUCUACAACUCUAUAUAAUGACUUGUAGGAAUCUAAUUCAUUUGAAUGCUUCAUUUGUUUCAUGGAAAAUGAAUGAAUUGGAAAACUUAUUUUUAUGAAUGAUCGCUAAUAUCGCUAAAAGAAACCGUUAAUAAAAAAUGUGUUCAUUAUUGACAACAAUUUUUGUCUAAACAUUUUCAUGGGCAAUAAAAAUAUUUUUUGUUUACUUAGUUUUUGUAAUUGACACAAGCUAUCAGUUUUUGGAAAAUAUUUUUCAAAUUAUUUAUUUUUUAUAAAACAAACAUAGGCUAAAUUUCAAAUUUGUCAACCAAGACUUUGCCUAAAUAAUGCAUAGUACAAAGGACAUAAAGUAAUCCCACAUGUCUUUCUUUGUCCUACGUCACCCAAUCACAUUGCCGUUUCAUGCCAUUCUUGUUUGAUUCCCCUUUGAUAAAGAUCAUGUCGUGUGAUGUGAAUCUUAAUUAUUUCUUAAUUAUAGUCUUAUUUCCAACAUAUUUAUUUUUCAUUUUUGGUUUGUCUAUUUCUAAUUGGUCUUAGGUGAUUGCUAAAAAAAAUAAAUUCUUUUUAGUUACAUCGCACCAAAAAGAUUCAAAGACCCUAGAACUAUUUUUUCAUGGUUGUCACGACUAAUUAAAGAAUAAUUGGAAGUUAAUUAAAGGAGGUAAGUCCAAUUACAAUCGAAUGGGUCUAUACAUGGAGAGAAUUUGGUUAGCAUGGGAGGGAGAGUUGGCUUGCCAUGCACUUUGAUGUGAUGCGCAUAAUCGCUUUCUUACAUGCGAACAACAUCGAAUUCCCACCUUCUUUUUAUGAUCAUUUCCUAUACUUUUGCUUUUGGAAAGUAUAGUACCAAACACCCUCCCUCAUAUUAGGAUCAUCUUCCCCCAUAAUCACGGGCACGUAACCAAUCAAAUCAAGUAAGGACAUUUGGUGUGUCUAUUAUAAUUAACUAAAAUCCAAUAUUAUGACUUUACCUGAUUGGGUCUUUGUUUAUAAUUCCUUGACUCUAGGGAAAUAAGAGCAAACAAAAGAUUGGGCAGAUGAAAUUGAUUGAUGUUCCCAUGACUUUUUCCACGUGAUCUGUCUUGCUUACACCCUGUCAAAAGAAGAAGGAUCUAUUACUUGACUUGACUUGAAAUAUCACACUUAUUCAAUUUAAUAUUAUUUGCCAACAACAACUUGUUUAUUAUUUUGGCUAGCUAUAUACUUUUAGGAUUUGAUAUAUACCUAAUUAUUUUAUAAUUCCAUUUUUUAAAAAUAACAAUGUGACUAUAUUAAAAAGUUAAUGAUCAUAAUAUAAUAGUGAGGACUUUGUCUUUAUUAAUUAGUAAUUCACCUAUUAGUAUUCAAGAUGUAAACUACAACUUGCAUAUCAAUAUGACAAGUUCAAUGCCGAUACAACAUGGAUCUAAAAGGUAGUAUUUUGAAAUGGAUUCUUCUACACCAAAGUAGACAUUUAGCUCUCUUUUAUUUACACAUAUCUCUUUCAAUUUUAAUAAUAAGAAACGAUAUUUCAACAGGAUAAAAUGGGACAUUACAAAUGUAUAAUUUAUAAAAAAAGAUAUGUAUUAUAAUUGACAAAUGAAGGUAAAGGUGAUUAUAAAUUGUGAAAUAGACUUACUUACAUGUAUGGUUAAUAGUGUUCUGUUUUUGAGAACCGAAAAUCAAGAUUCUAAAUGCGCAGAAAAGACUAAAGUCAUUGCCCCCACUAAACUGCCCGGCAAUUCAGGGAUUGAAAUAUAGAUUAUAGGAUAAAGGACGCUAUUGAUAAAUAAUGAAGAAAACCAAGUAAGGCCCAUGCCGUUUCACCUUUCAUUGACUGACUGGAUCAUCAAUAAUUGCCUUGCUUGUAACGGUCUUGUAAUUUUCUCAACACGCGUGAAUGGCUGAAAUGCUUAUGUGGUUUCAUCUAUGUUUUAGGUUCUGUGUGCUGUAUGUAAGAGAAGUGGCGAAGGGAGGUUGGCUUAUAAACUCCACAAGGAAUUGCUCAUACAUGCAGGAAAUAUUGGAGGUUUGAAAAUGAGUGAAAAAAAUAUCGAAGGUCCUUUUAAUGACAAGCGAGACAAAAUCAAUUAUAAUGUACGAAAAUUACAUAAAACUUGUGUUUUUUAGUUGGAUCCAAUAUGAAUCACAUUAUCUCUGGAUAGGCGAUUGGCAUAAUUUAUCAAGGAAUUUUACCAGAGUGUUGGAUAAUUUUCAAGAAGGGCUUUGUAGUAUAUUCUGUCAAUUUUCCAUUAAUCUAUGAGACUUUAUUGAUAUAGCUAUUCUUUUAAUCUUAGAGUUAGUCACGUACAUAACUUGAUUUCUAAUGUCAAGGGUCUUCUUAAAUAGAUUUUUCAAUAUAUCAAAAUCAACCACUGGAGUUUGCCCCAGUGGCCACCCUUCCAACAUGGAAGGGAGAGGUGGGGAGUUCGAAUCCUCACAUUCUCAAGGGAGGGUUGGGGGUGGAGACGAUGUAAUUUCAGGAGUGGGUUUCGACUCCCACUUUUACGCCUUGCAAGGAGGUAAGACAAAAGUCUGAAAGUGAGCGAUAGAGUAAGACCGUAUGUCCUUUGGAUGACUCAACAGAUAGAAUCAAUCGCAAUAUGCAAAAAGAGUGUGGAAAGUUUUUGUUUUUCAAUUAGAUUCAAUAUGAAUCACAUUAUCUCUUAAUAUGUGAUUAACAUAGUUGUCGUGACCAAAAUUUCGAGUGAACCACCUAAAAUUAGGCUAAUGGACUAUUAAGUUUAACUUAGCUCGGGCUCUCCCAAGUCCAUACCAAUUCGCGACUUAGGUUCAAAUAUCUAGCAUGCAAAAGGGAGUCGCCACUAAUAAGUUUAUGGUAGGUCGAUUAGGCACCUAAGUAAAAUAAUGGGAGAAUUAUUUUACUUCUAUGAACAAGAGAUUUUGGGUACGGGGACUUGAUUACACUAAAAAAUCGUUGAUAUGAUGAUCUAAUUAGCAUUUGUCAUCUUACGUGACGUGAUUGGUGGCUCACGCGGACAAUUUUUUAAAUAAAAUGAUGUUGUUUUGAUUUUUUUAAAAUUUAUAGAUUUUUUUUUUCUUUUUUCCCCCUAAUCUUUCAUUAUAGUGUUCAUCAUUUUCCCUGUGCCAAUCGUCAGGGACUUGGAAACAACCCGUGAAGGUUGCGGCUAAAGGCAAUGGACGUGACGCCCUUGGGCAGAUUUGGGCAAUGGUCUCAGAUUGCCCUCGGCCAAGUUAGGCGACGGUGUCGCAGCACUUGCCAUGCCUUCCCAGGCCAUCGCUUGAGACCUCGACAAAUGGGGAAGGGAUGAAAUGAAAAAUAGAAGGAAAGAAUAGGACAAAAAAAAAGAGAAGAAAAAAACUCAAUUUUCAAAUAUGUGGAAAAAUAUCUAAUAAGUCUAUUAUUCAUGUUAAGGAGAUAGUUUUUCAAGUACUAUUGAGCGUGGCAGCCCCAAGUAAAAGAGUCACACUGAGAUCACUUGAAGCCAUUUCAUAGAAAAAUAUAUGGCAUGAUAUUCUCGUAUACUUAUAGGUGGAUCGAAAAGUCAUGACUCAAACUCAAUAUUUCAUAAUUGAUAUGAGAUUUGACAUUUGCCUAUGUAUUCUUUCUAUCCUCAGUUUUUUUUGUUGGCAUACUAUUUAAUUACUAUGAACAUAUUAAUAAAAUUUUAGCAUAUUACACUUAAUUAGUAUUUCUCUUCUAACAAAUUCUAUAGUUUAGGGGUGAUAUCUACAACUCUAUAUAACGACUCGUAGGACUCUAAUUCAUUUGAAUGCUUCAUUUGUUUCGCAAAAAAACGAAUGAAUUAGAAAACUUAUUUUUAUGAAUGAUCGCUUAUAUCGCUAAAAGAAACCGUUAAUGGAAAAUGUUUUCAUUAUUGACAACAAUUUUUGUCUAAACAUUUUCAUGGGCAAUAAAAAUAUUUUUCAUUUACUUAGUUUUGUAAGCGACACAAGCUAUCGGUUUUUGGAAAAUAUUUUUCAAAUUAUUUAUUUUUUAUAAAGCAAACAUAUGCUAAAUUUCAAAUUUGUCGACCAAGACCUUGCCUAAAGAAUGCAUUGUACAAAGGACAUAAAGUAAUCCCACAUGUCUUUCUUUGUCCUACGUCACCCAAUCACAUUGCUGUUUCAUGCCAUUCUUGUUUGAUUCCCCUUUGAUAAAGAUCAUGUCGUGUGAUGCGAAUCUUAAUUAUUUCCUAAUUAUAGUCUUAUUUUCAACAUGUUUAUUGUUCAUUUUUGGUUUGUCUAUUUCUAAUUGGUAUUAGGUGAUUGCUAAUAAAAAUAAAUUCUUUUUAGUUACAUCACACCAAAAAGAUUUAAAGACCCUAGAACUAUUUUUUCAUGGUUGUCACGACUAAUUAAAGAAUAAUUGGAAGUUAAUUAAAGGAAGUAAGUCCAAUUACAAUUGAAUGGGUCUAUACAUGGAGAGAAUUUGGUUAGCAUGGGAAGGAGAGUUGGCUUGCCGUGCACUUUGAUGCGAUGCGCAUAAUCGCUUUCUUACAUGCGAACAACAUUGAAUUCCCACCUUCUUUUUAUGGUCAUUUUCUAUACUUUUGCUUUUGGAAAGUAUAAUACUGAACACCCUCCCUCGGAUUAGGAUCAUCUUCCCCCAUAGGCACGGGCACGUAACCAAUCAAAUCAAAUAAGGACAUGUGGUGUGUCUCUAAUAAUUAACUAAAAUUCAGUAUUAUGACUUUACCUGAGUGGGUCUCUGUUUAUAAUUCCUUGACUCUAGGGAAAUAAGAGCAAACAAAAGAUUGGGCAAAUGAAAUUGAUUGAUGUUCCCAUGACUUUUUCCAUGUGAAUUGUCUUGAUUACACCCUGUCAAAAGAAGAAGGAGAAGAAGGAUCGUUUACUUGACUUGACUUGAAAUAUCACACUUAUUCAAUUUAAUGUUAUUUGCCAAUAACAACUUGUUUAUUUUUUACCUAAUUUUUUAGGAUUAGAUAUAUACCUAAUUUGUUUAUAAUUCCAUUUUUUAAAAAUAACAAUGUGACUAUAUUAAAAAUUUAAAAAUUAUAAUAUAAUAGCGAGGACUUUGUCUUUAUUAAUUAGUAAUUCACCUGUUAGUAUUCAAGAUGUAAAAUACAACUUGCAUAUCAAUAUGACAAGUUCAAUGCGGAUACAACAUGGAUCUAAAAGGUAGUGUUUCGAAAUAGAUUCUUCUUCACCAAAGUAGACAUUUAGCUCUCUUUUAUUUACACGCAUUUCUUUCAAUUUUAACAAUAAGAAACAAUAUUUCAACAGGAUAAAAUGGGACAUUACAAAUGUAUAAUUUAUAAAAAAGAUAUGUAUUGUAAUGGACAAAUGAAAGUAAAGGUGAUUAUAAAUUGUGAAAUAGACUUACAUGUAUGGUUAAUAGUGUUCUGUUUUUUAGAACCGAAAAUCAAGGUUCUAAAUGUGCGGAAAAGACUAAAGUCAUUGCCCCCACUAAACUGCCCGGCAAUUCAGGGAUUGAAAUAUAGAUUAUAGGAUAAAGGACGCAAUUGAUAAAUAAUGAAGAAAACCAAGUAAGGCCCAUGCCGUUUCACCUUUCAUUGACUGACUGGAUCAUCAAUAAUUGCCUUGCUUGUAACGGUCUUGUAAUUUUCUCAACUCGUGUGAAUGGCUGAAAUGCUUACGUGGUUCCAUCUAUGUUUUUAGGUUCUGUGUGCUGUAAGAGAAGUGGCGAAGGGAUGUUGGCUUAUAAACUCCACAAGGAAUUGCUCAUACACGCAGGAAAUAUUGGAGGUUUGGAAAUCAAUGAAAAAAAUAUGGAAUGUCCUUUUAAUGACGUGCGAGACAAAAUCAAUUAUAAUGUACGAAAAUUACGUAAAACUUGUGUUUUUUAGUUGGAUCCAAUAUGAAUCACAUUAUCUUUGGAUAGGUGAUUGGCAUAAUUUACCAAGGAAUUUUACCAGAGUAUUGGAUAAUUCUCAAGAAGGGCUUUGUAGUAUAUUCCGUCAAUUUUCCGUUAAUCUAUGAGACUUUGAUAUAGCUAUUUUUUUUAAUCUUAGAGCAAGUUACAUACAUAGCUUGAUUUCUAAUGUCAAGGGUCUUCUUAUAUAGAUUGUUCAAUAUGUCAAAAUCAUUUUGCAAUCCAAAAAUAAAAAUAAAAAUUUUAUGUCCUUUGGAUGACUCAAUCGAUAGAAUCAAUCAUAAUAUGCAAAAAGAGUGUGAAAAGUUUUUGUUUUUCAAUUAGAUUCAAUUUGAAUCACAUUAUCUCUUAAUAUGUGAUCAGCACAGUACAUUGUAUUAACUCCAUAUAACAAAUUUCUCAAGCAAUAUUAAUCAUUUUUCUUCUUUUGGACUUUAAGGGGAAGUACAUUGAACACGGUAACCCAUAACAUAACCUAGUAUAUAACGUGCGAAAGAAGAGAUACUAAUGCAGUUCACUACAUACGGCUUCCAACAUGCAUGAAGUGAUCUUUGAAAUCAUGCUAAUCUCUCUGUCUCUCUCUUCUUCGAGUUCAUGCUCAUGCAUGUUAUCGGCAAAGUAGUGAGAUCUCGGUUUUUCCUUAUUUGAAGGGUAAGUGAACAUGUAUCAUAUUGCCCGUAUGCUUCAUUAACAUGAUAAAACUAUACUCUUGAUCCCUAAGUUCGAGCUUUAUUUUCCUAUCAAAUCCUCUAAACUUUGAGUUUUGUCCCAUCAGAUCAUUGAAAUUGUAUGUCUUUUUCUAAUUAAAAUUCCUUUAGCUCCAAAUCUAACUGAUUGGAACUGACAUUCCUUCUUCAUUAACAUUUUUUUUUCACUAUCCUAUUCUCAUCACCUACGUAUUCUUUCUAUCUCCAAUUUUUUUGGCAUACCAUUUAAUUACACGAGCAAACUAAUAAACAUUUAGCAUAUUACACUAAAUUAGUAUUUCUCUUCUUACAAAUUUUAUGGUCUAGGGUUGAUGUCAACAACUCUAUAUAAUGAUUCGCAGGAAUCUAAACCGUUUAAAAACUUCAAAUUUGUUGACGAGUUAAAAACUGUAUAGUACAAAGGACAUAAAGUAAUUCCACAUGUCUCUCUUUCUCCCACGGCACCCAUUCACAUUGCCUUCUCAGGCCAUUCUUGUUCGAUUCCCCUUUGAUAAGGACUGUGUCGUGCGACACAAAUCUUAAUUAUUUCCUAAUUAUAGUCUUAUUCCCAUGAUGGUCAAUGUUCAUUUUUUUGUUUGUCUAGUUCUAAUUGGUCUAAGGUGAUUGCUUAAAAAAAAAAUCAUUCUAGUUACAUCACAUCAAAAAGAUUUGACGACCCUAAAACUAUUUCUUCAUUUUUUCUGGAUGUGGACGUCACAACUGAUUAAAGGAUAAUUUGGAGUUAAUUAAAGGAAGUAAAUCCAAUUACAAUAGAAUGGUCCGAUAUGUGGAGAGCAUUUAGUCAUCAUGGGAGGCAAAGUUGGCUUGCCGUGCACUUUGAUGCAAUGUGCUUAAGUUGCUUUCUUACAUGUGAACAGCUUUAAAUUCUCACUUUCUUUGUAUAGUCUUUUUUUUUUUCUACUUUUGCUUUUGGAAAGUAUGAUACUGAACAUCCUCCCUCGGAUUAGGAUAAUCUUCGCCCAUCAAGCAUGGGCAUGUAACCAAUCAAAUCAAGUAAGGACACAUGAUGUGUGUCUAAUAAUAAGCUAAAAAUCCGAUAUUAUGACUUUAUCUAAUUGGGUCUUUGUUUAUAAUUCCUUGAUUCUAGGGAAAUAAGAGCAAACGAAAGGUUGGACGGAUGAGACAUAUUGAUGUUCUCACAACUUUUCCCAUGUGAAUUGUCUCGAUUACGCCCUGUCAAAAGAAAAAGGAGAAGAAGGAUCGUUUACAUGAGUUGACUUGAACAAUUUCACUUUUUCAUUUCAUUAUCAUCUGCCGAUGACAACUUGUUUACUUUUUGACUAGCUAUAUACCUUUAGGAUUAAAUAUAUGCCUAGUUUUUAAUUGUUAACGAUAUUAUAUUGGAGAUUGUUAAGAUUUUCUAUAGAAUAUUAUCCUAUGUUAAAGAGAAGGAUUAACACCCUAAAAAACCCCAAACUGGUACACCUGUGAAAAAUUUAUCCCAAAUUAUUUUUUUGACCACCAAAAACCCCAAACUGGUAUACCUUUGACAAAUUUACCCCAAAUUGAUAUACUUGUGACAAAUUUACCCUCUGUUAGUUUUCGUUAAAUUUUACUAUUAAAUUAUUAAGUUAAAUGACACGUGACAGUUAACUGAUAUACCAAUUUGGGAUUUUACGCUUUGUCUGUCACAGUUUACAAUUUUUGUGAUUUUUUGGUGGUAUUAAUCCAAUUUAGCGAAGAGUAUAUUUGUCACAAAUUUACCGGUUUGGAAUUUUUUGCGAUUGAAUAAAUUAGUUUGGGGUAAAUUUGUCAUAAAUGUACCAGUUUAGGAUUUUUUAUGGUCAAUCGGGGUAAAUUUGUCACAAGUGUACCGGUUUGGGGUUUUUUAUGGUCAAAAAAAUAGUUUUGGGUAAAUUUGUCACAAGUGUACCAGUUUGGGAUUUUUCAGGGUAUUAACCCUAAAGAGAAUGAUGAUAUUACUAUUGAUUAUCUAUAUCAAUCAAGACUAUUAAAAAAGCUUGAUUGGACGACGCGGUCGGUGUGAUUAAUGUCAAAACAUAACUAUUAUGGAAAGGACUCGAUUAAGAGCUUUCUCUAAUGAGACUUGUAUUAUAAUUGACAAAUGGAAGUAGAGGUCAUUAUAAAUUGUGAAAUAGACCUAGUUACAUGUAUGGUUAAUAGUGUUCUAUUUCUGAGAACUCGAAAAUCAGGAUUUUAUAUGCACGGAAAAGACUAAAGUCGUUGCCCCUGCUAAACAGCCCGACAAUUCAGAUAUUGAAAAAUAGAUUAUAGGAUAAAGGACACAAUUGAUAAAUAAUGAAGAAGAAGAUUUGGCGACCCUAGGACUAUUCUUUUACUUUUUUUGUGUGGUCAUCACGACUAACUAGAGACUAAUUUGAAGUUAAUUAAAGGAAAUAAAUCCAAUUAGAAUUGAAUGGGCCUAUACGUGGAGAGAAUUUGGUCAACGUGGGAGGCAAAGUUGGCUUGCCGUGCACUUUGAUUCAAUGCGCCUAAGUUGCUUUCUUACAUGUGAAUAGCUUUGAAUUCCCACCUUCUUUCUAUGGUCUUUUUUCUGUACUUUUUCUUUUGGAAAGUAUAAUAUUGACCACCCUCCCUCGGAUUAGGAUCAUCUUCACCCAUUAGGCAUGAGCAUGUAAUCAAUCAAAUCAAGUAAGGACACGUGGUGUGUGUCUAAUAACUAGCUAAAAUCUAGUAUUAUGACUUUACCUAACUGAGUCUUUGUUUAUAAUUACUUGAUUCCAGGAAAAUCAAAGCAAAUGAAAGGUUGGACGGAUGAAACAAAUUGAUGUUCCCACGAUUGUUCACAUGUGAACUGUCUCAAUUAUACCCUGUCAAAAGAACAAGAAGGAUCGUUUACUUGACUUGACUUGAACUGUCACACUUUUUCAGUUUAAUAUCAUCUACCAAUGACAACUUGUUUACUUUUUGACUAGCUAUAUUCCUUUAGGAUAAAAUAUAUGCCUAGUUUUUUUUUUUUUUUAUAAUUCCAAUAAUUUUUUUUAAAUAACAAUGUGGCUAUGUUAAAAUGUUAAAGAUCAUAAUAUAAUAGCACGGACUUUGUCAUUAUUAAUUAGUAAUUCAUCAAUUAGUAUUCAAGAUGCAAAAUCAAUUAGUAUUCAAGAUGCAAAAUAUAAUUUGCAUACCAAUGAAACAAGUUCAUGCCGGUAUAGAAUGGAUCUAAAAGGCUGUAGUUUGAAAUAGAUUCUUCUUCAUCAAAUAGAGUUUUCUCCCUUUUAUUUACAUGCAUUAUUUUCAAUUUUAAUAAUAAGAAAUGAUAUUUCAACCGCAUGAAAUGGGACAUUACAAAUGUUUAAUUUAUAGAAAAGAUAUGCAUUAUAAUUGACAAAAGGAAGUAAAGGUGAUUAUAAGUUGUGAAAUAGACCUACUUACAUGUAUAGUUAACAAUAUUCUUGUUCUGAGAACCCGAAAAUCAAGAUUUUAUAUGCGUGGAAAAAACUAAAGUCAAUGCCCCUACUAAACAGCCCGGCAAUUCAGGGAUUGAAAGAUAGAUUAUAGGAUAAAGGAUACAAUUGAUAAAUAAUGAAGAAAACUAAGGCCCCAUUGAUUGACUUUAUCAUCAAUAAUUACGUAAAACUUGUGUUUCACCUUUCCUUGACUGACUUGAUCAUCAAUAAUUACCUUGCUUGUAAUUUUCUCAACUUGUGUGGAUGGCUGAAAUGCUUCUGUCGUUCCAUCUAUGUUUUAAGUUCUGUGUGCUUAUCUGUAAGAGAAGUGGCGGAGGGAGGUUGUCUUAUAAACUCCACAAGGAAUUGCUCAUAUAUGUAGGAAAUAUUGGAGGCUUUGGAAACCAAUGAAAAAAAUAUCGAAUGUCCUCUUAAUGAUGUGCGGGACAUAGUCAAUUAUAACAUACAAAAAUUACGUAAAACUUGUGUUUUUCAGUUGAAUCCAAUGUGAAUCAUAUUAACUCCUAAUAGGUUAUUGGCAUUGAUCUAUCAAAGGAGUUUUACCAAAGUAUUAAAUAAUUUUCAAGUAGAGCUUGACAGUACAUUUUGUCAAUUUUUUUGUUAAUAUAUGGGUAAAUUUGAUCCAACAUGAAUCACAUCAUCUUUUAAUAUGUGAUUGGCACAAUGUAACGUAUUAACUCCAUAUAACAACUUUCUCAAGCAAUAUUAAUCAUUUUUCUUCUUUUGCACAUUAAGGGGAAGUACAUUGAAUAAGGUAACCUAUAACAUUACCUAGUAUAUAACAAGAGAAAGAAGAGAGACUAAUGCAGUUCAUGAAUACAGCUUCCUACAUGCAUGAAGUGGUCUUGGGAAUCAUGCUAAUCUCUCUGUGUCUUGCGCUUCUUCGAGUUCACGCUAGUCCAUGUUAUUGGCAAAGUUGCGUGGUCUCGGUUGUCCCUGUAAUUCAAACUUGUUUCAUGACGUGUCCUUAUUUGAAGGGUAAGUCCACUUGUCUCAUAUUCCCCAUAUGCUUCAUUAAAAUGAUAAAACUGUGCUUUUGAUCCCUAAGUUAGGGCAUUUUUUUCUAACCAAAUCCUCUAAACUUUGAGUUUUGUCCCAUCAAAUCAUUGAGUUUGUAUAGCUUUUUCUAAUUAAAAUUCCUUCAGCUCCAAAUCUAACUGAUUGGAACUGACACACCUUAUUUAGUAACUUUUGCAUUUUUUGCUACUCUAUUGUCAUCACUUACAUAUUCUUUCAAUCCUCAAAUUUUCUGGUAUAGCAUAUAAUUACUUUGAACACACCAAUACAAUUUUAGCAUAUUACACUUAAUUAGUAUCUCCUCUUACAAUUUCCAUGGUUUGAGGGUGAUGUCUACAAAUUUAUAUAACGACUCACAGGAAUCGAACCUAUUUUAAAUUUCAAAUUUGUUGAUGCACACCUUCCUUAAGGAAUGCAUAGUACAAAGGCCAUAAAGCAAUUCCACAUGUCUCUCUUUGUCCCACAUCGCCCAAUCAAAUUGCCUUCUCAUGUCACUCUUGUUCGAUUCCCCUUCGAUAAGGAUCAUGUCAUGCGACACGAAUGUUAAUUAUUUCUCUCAUUCCCAAGAUGUUUAAUGUUCAUUUUUGGUUUGUCUAGUUCUAAUUGGUCUUAGGUGAUUGCUUUAAAAAAAAAAAAUUCUUUUUAGUUCCAUCGCACUAAAAAGAUUUGACAACCCUAGAAUUAUUUUUUCAUUUUUUGUGUGCGGUCUUUAUGACUAAUUAGAGGAUAAUUUGAAGUUAAUUAAAGGAAGUAAAUUCGAUUACAAUUGAAUGGUCCUAUACGUGGAGAGAAUUUGGUUAGUGUGGGAGGCAAAGUUUGCUUGUCGUGCACUUUGAUGCAAUGCACAUAAGUUUCUUACAUGUGAACAGCAUCGAAUUCCCACCUUCUUUCUAUGGUCUUUUUCUGUACUUUUGCAUUGAAUUGAAAUCUCUUCACCCAUCAGGUUUGGGCACGUAACCAGUCAAAUCAAGUAAGGACAUGUGGUGUGUGUCCAAUAAUUAAUUAAAAUUUGGUACUAUGACUUUAUCAAAUUGGGUCUUUGUUUAUAAUUCCUUAAUUAACUAAAAUUAAGUAAGGACAUGUGAUGUAUGUCUGAUAAUUAACAAAAGGUUGGACGGAUGAAAAACAUGUUGAUGUUCCCACAACUUUUUCCGUGGGAACUGUCUCAAUUAGGCGUUGUCAAAAGGAGGAGGAGGAGGACAAGAAAGAUAGUUUGCUUGACUUGAACCAUCACGCUUUUUCAAUUAAAUAUCAUAUGCCAAUCACAACUUAUUUACUUUUAGACUAGCUAUUUGCCCUUGGGAUUAAAUACGUACCUAGUUUUUCAUAAUUCCGAUAAUUUUUAAAUAACAAUACGACUAUAUUAAAAUGUUAAAGAUUACAAUAUAAUAGCGUGGGCUUUGUUACUAUCAAUUUAUAAUUCAUCUAUAAGUACUCUAGAAGCAAAGUUCAAUUUGCAUAUCAAUAUAACAAGCUAAACGCGGGUGCAACAUUAAUCUAAGAGGUAAUAUUUUGAAAUAAAUUAUUCUUCAUUAUAGUAGAAAUUUCGUUCUCUUCUAUGUAUAAGCACUAUUUUCAAUUUAAAUAUUAUCAAACAAUAUUCCAAAUUGUAUAAUUUAUAUAUAUAAAAAAAAGAUAUGUAUUAUAAUUGAUAAAUGAAGGUAAAGUUAAUUUUAAAUUGUGAAAUAGACCUACUUACAUGUACGGUUAAAACUGUUCCGCUUUUGAAUACUGGAGAGUCAAAAUUUUAUAUUUAUAGACCGGAAAUUCAGGGAUUGUAAAAGACACAAUUGACAAUGGAAAAAUGUAGUCCCCCAUGGUGUUUUCAGCUUUCAUUGACCGACCUUAUCACCAAUUGUUAACUUGCAUGUCACGGCCUUGUAAUUUUCUCAUUUUGAGAGGAGGAUAGAAAUUUCUGUCAUGACUAUUCUUGCAUUUGAUGAUAUCAUGUCUUAGUAUGGUCGAACAUAUUGCCUGCUAGUAUAUAUUCACGAAUUGUUUCGAAACAACGUCAAGAGAGAACCAAAAAGACUCCAGCUGAGAGCAUUUUGCUACAAAUCCUCAUGGACCUUGCCUAUAGAUAUCAGCUUUUGCCCAUGUCAUUCUCAUGCCUAACUACAAUCCUUCUUCUAUUAGGGAGUGUCCUAGCUUUAGUAAAAGAUGGCUGGGACGAGAUUGAUUGAUUGGCUUUAUUAGAAUUCAAGGCUCGAAUAGCUGAUCCUAGUGGGGUUUUGAGCUCGUGGAAUGAUUCUAGCCACUUUUGCGAUUGGGAUGGUGUCACUUGCAGUCUCAAACACCGAAGAGUCACCAUACUAGACCUUGGCUCCAAGAACUUAUCCGGGGUCGUGCCACCCCAUAUUGGUAAUCUGAGCUUUCUGAGGCGUGUCCAUUUGGAGAACAAUAGUUUGCAUGCCAAAAUUCCCCCGCAUUUUGGUUGCUUGCUUCGGUUGCAGAAGUUGUCCCUUAAUAACAACUCGUUCAGCGGUCAAAUCCCUUCGAAUCUCUCCUAUUGCUCUAAUCUGCUCGUUCUUAAGUUAGGCUUCAACAUGCUCAAAGGAAAUUUGCCGACAGAACUAGGCUCAUUGUCCAAGCUCCAAGUACUUAAACUUCAAGCCAACAGCUUGAUGGGAAACAUCCCGCCGUCUAUUGGAAACUUAUCAUCUCUUCAAAAGUUCCAAAUAACGCUGAAUAACUUCAGUGGUAUGAUCCCAGAGACUCUUGGCCAGCUGAGAAAUCUAAAGGUCCUCAGUCUCGCCGCAAAUAAAUUUGUCGGUACAAUUCCUAUCUCAAUCUUCAAUAUAUCCGCUCUGACAUGGCUUGAUGUAGGUGAUAACCAAUUAGAAGGGGGUUUACCUAACGACUUAGGCUUCACUCUUCCGAAUAUCGAGAUUUUCGGUACGUGGCAGAACCACCUCACUGGACCCAUUCCCGAGUCAUUAUCCAACACCUCUAACCUUAGGAUAAUCCAAAUCGAUGAGAACAAUUUUACUGGGAAAGUUCCUUUGUUUUCAAAGACAAGAGGCCUCUAUUGGUUUAGUAUUUACCUCAACAACUUAGGAGGUGAGCAAUCUACUGAUUUGGACUUCCUCUGUUCUUUAACCAAUUCCACAAAAUUGGAAUUUUUGGUUAUAGAGGAAAAUGCUUUUCGAGGACUAUUACCCGACUGUAUUAGUAACCUCUCGACCACCCUUUCCAAGUUUGGGUUAGCAAACAACCAUAUUUCUGGAACCUUACCUUCUGGGAUCGGAAGUCUCAUUAAUUUAGAGCUCCUGCAAACGAUGGGCAAUAACAUCUCGGGCAACAUUCCUUCCGAGAUCGGAAAUCUAAAUAAAUUGAAGAUUUUGGAUCUCAGCCAAAAUAAAUUAUCAGGGCAAAUACCGGAAUCGUUUGGGAAUUUAAGGAUGUUAAUCCUAUUGGACUUGAAUAGCAAUAAUUUCCGGGGCUCGAUACCAUCGUCUCUAAAAAAUUGCCAAAAUCUACUUCUCUUGGACCUUUCGACCAACAACCUCAGCGGUCAUGUACCCUCGGAAAUUAUGGGCAUCUCAUCUUUGUCGAUUUACCUUAACUUGUCUCGAAAUAAUCUUACUGGCCCCAUUCCAGAAGAAGUUGGAAAAUUGCAAAAUCUCGGCGAACUACAUCUUGACGGGAAUAGAUUAUCUCAACAGAUUCCAAGCAGUGUAGGCAGUUGUAUAAGCAUGGAACGCCUAUAUGUACAGGAUAACUUCUUUGAAGGGCCCCUACCAUCCAUUAUGAGUUCCAUGAGAGGCCUUCAGGUUUUGAAUGUUUCCAACAACCAAUUGUCUGGCCAAAUCCCGAAAUUUCUAGAGUCGCUAAAUCUGACGAAUUUGAGCCUAUCUUACAAUGAUUUCGAGGGUGCAUUGCCUACAGGAGGAGUUUUCAAAAGUGUCAUUUCAACUUCGGUCGUUGGAAACAAGAAGCUUUGCGGGGGUCUCCCAGAUUUUCAACUACCUAAAUGCUACUACAAAGAGUCAAAAUGGACGAGAAUAAGCGGAAUUGCAAAAAUUCUUAUAUCUAUAGUCUCUGCUCUUGUUGGAGUAGCCUGCAUACUGUCUUUGUUAUACUUCUUCUGGUUUAGACACAAUAAGAAUGCAUUAGCUUCAAGCUCUUCUGAAGACGGGCUUUUGCAUGUUUCUUAUCACAAUCUACUAAAAGCGACAUGUGGAUUCUCCUCCACCAAUCUGCUUGGUGUGGGCAAUUUUGGGUCCGUGUACAAAGGGCUACUUGAUCAAACUCAGUCGGUUGUGGCCAUCAAGAUUCUCGACCUUACAUGUGAUGGAGCUUCCAAGAGCUUCAUAGCUGAGUGCGAGGUCUUGAGAAGAAUCCGACACCGUAAUCUUGUAAAGGUACUCACAGCAUGUUCUGGGUUUGAUUUCAAUGGAAAUGAUUUCAAGGCACUGGUCUACGAAUUCAUGUCAAACGGAAGCUUGGAUGAGUGGCUGCACCCAACUGCAUCACAAUAUACGGAGAGAAACAAGUUGAGUUUACUUGAGAGAGUGAAUAUUGCAAUCGAUGUUGCUUGUGCACUAGAUUAUCUCCAUCAUCACUAUGAAAUGCCAAUAGUUCAUUGUGAUCUAAAGCCAAGUAAUGUCCUUCUUGACGAUGAAAUGAAUGGACAUGUAGGCGAUUUUGGGCUUGCUAGGUUCUUUCCAGAAGCAACACAUAAGUUGCUAGUAGAUCAAUCGAGCUCUGUCGGAGUAAAAGGAUCUUUUGGCUACGUAGCUCCAGGUAAUGAAGCACACCUUGGGUCAUUCAGUUUGUUUCUUUGAACACAUAAUCGUAGACAGAUCCUUAAAGAAAAAGGCAUAGACAUAAAACGUCACUGAUAAUAUAUUUCAAACUUAAAUUUUCACCUUGCAUCAAUACAUCGUUGAUUGUUGUAGAGUAUGGCGUGGGAAGUGCAGUAUCUACAGAAGGAGAUGUGUAUAGCUUCGGAGUCCUCGUUUUGGAGAUGUUCACAGGCAAGAGGCCGAUUGAUGACAUGUUUGAAAAUGGGUUGGACCUUCAUCGCUUCACAAAGGCAGCUUUGGCAGACCGAGUGGAGAAGGCAAUUGAUCCCAUUUUGCUUCAAGAAAUCGAGGAGUUGGAGAAGAGACGAACAAUUGCUCCAGAGGGCAAGAACAAGAGCUGGUGUAGUAUCAAGGAUUGUUUGGUUUUGAUCAUCGAAGUAGGAAUCACUUGCUCUUUUGAGUCUUCGAAGGAGCGAAUGGACAUCUAUGAUGCAUUGACUAAACUCCAAG
Molecule: long non-coding RNA, 59718 nt
Filed under: Eucalyptus grandis
Lineage: Eukaryota; Viridiplantae; Streptophyta; Magnoliopsida; Myrtales; Myrtaceae
Description: long non-coding RNA (EGRA_LNC006685)
Source: RNAcentral